Molecule: long non-coding RNA, 44681 nt
Filed under: Malus domestica (apple)
Lineage: Eukaryota; Viridiplantae; Streptophyta; Magnoliopsida; Rosales; Rosaceae
Description: long non-coding RNA (MDOM_LNC001224)
Source: RNAcentral
AGCGGGCGCGAAGCUGACUGACCACCUAAGAAGUUGUUCCAGAUGUAAUCAGCAACUUGCCUUGCAUCAUCAGCUGAAGUGAGAGAGUAACUUCCGGCGGCCCCUCCAAUCGAGAGGAGGACUUUUAUGUUUUUUGAUUGGCAGGUUCUGAUGUCGGCACUCAGCCCGGUGCAAGUACCACUAGCGGGGUCGCAGUGGCCGGCGAGGUUUAGGACAGGGGUUUGGUUGUUUCCGAAAGUAGUGAGGAAAGCUAUGUUAACAAACUGGUAGUUGCCUGAGUUGCAAGCAUCUGCUAGGGUUCCUUCGUUUCCGUUUUGGCCCCAAUAGACCGCAAUUCCGGCGGCUUGGGAGGACUUGCAUGAAGAAAUGAGGAUCAAGAGGGACAGCGUUAGGGCUAGGGUUUGUGUUUUGGAUGCCAUUUUUAUAUGUUUUUUUGGGUUGUUGUUCAAAGUGCUUGGGAGUGGACAUGUACUUAUAGGUGCAGGGGACUUAUCGGUUAAGGUUUAGGGGAAGAAAAGUAUGACAGACGUGUUCUGCAGGUAAGAGUCUUCUGCUUGCAACCGCGUCAAUCACGUUAGGGCCUGUUUAUUUAGUCCAAGUUUCACUUUACAACUUAGAACACGUCAAUUAAAUUAGGUCGGGUUGAAAAUGCAUUUUCCAAAACCACUUUCACACAUAAGCGCUUCUUAUAUUUUCAUAAAAAUGCAAGUGGUUUUAUAAAAAAAAAAACUUGAGGUGUUUGGCGUGUGUUUUUUCAGAAAGCACUUAAAAUAUUUUUUCAACCUAAAAUCACUGAAUUUUUUAUGAUUUCAAAGUUCUUUUAAUUGUUUUGAAGGCACUUCCAACUGAUAUUUUAUAAAAAAUUACUUCUAGAGAGAAUUAUAGCAUGCUAAUUGAGAGAUUCCGAAACUAAAAAGCCAUCAAAUUUGCCAAAAAAAAAAUCUGAUGAGACAAUACGUGGAGAAUCAACACAGCUGUAUCAUCACCAAAAAUUUUCAGUGUGCAGAAAUACAGUCCGGUACAAAGUGUUAUAAUAAAAUUGGUUGAUUUUUUUUUUUAAGUUUCCAACUAAUUAUAUUAUUACACUUGAUGUACCGAUCCGUAUUUCUGAAAAAUCUCUCCUUACCAUCACAUCACAUGAAUGUUUUGGAAAGUUCGUAGAUAGAAACCAAAAUCUCUCCUUAUCAUCACAUCACAUCACAUGAACGUUUGGGAAGCUCGUCGAUAGAAACCAAAUGGAAUAUGCUUUUAGCUGAGGAUGGCCAUUGGCCAGGGACUUCGGUCUAAUCACGAUGCUUUAAUUUCGCAGUCGGAAAAAAACUUUCGAAUAAAAUUUAGGGUAUAUUUAGGAAGUGUUUUUAAAUGAUUGAAAACAUUUUUAGAAAUAUUUUUUUUUAAAAACGUUUCCAGUCAUUUAAAAAAACUUCUUAAACGAGUUUAAUUACUUGUGUAUGGGGCAACAUUUAGCUAGUAAUGGUUCUCAUGAAUUGGAUUGUGGUGAUGUGAAAAUGGGUUUGGGUUAGUUUAGUUUAGAGUUUAUAUUUACUAUCCGGUGCAUGCAAAUGGAAUGUCAAAUCUUUCAGAGAAAUUUUGAUAGAACUGCCACUUAGGGCAACACAUAUUAAACAAACAAAUGUAGGGUUGGAGAAGACUAAAAUACAUGAAUUCUCGUGUUUUCAUAAAUGUGAUCUAAAAAUAAUAUAGCAUGUGCCCUGAGAACAACGUGAUCAGUACCUAAUCGAAGUUCUCUAGUGUGGAAAGAUUCAAGAGGGGUGUGACGCUUCCGACAAAUAAAAAAUCACACAUUUUCGAAUUCGGAAAUGUAUAGAACAGAGCAGAUAUCACUAGAUGAAUGUUAACUGUUUUACAGAAAAUUUAUAAGACAAUUAGAGUUAAACAACAGAAGCUUGCACUUUAAAUGGUUAUGUCCAGCUGCUUUUGGUAUGUAUAUGCUUUUUCCAUGUCUCGAUGUAGUUCCAGUUCACUGCUCAUCAUCCUGGAACAAUGCUUUCGAAACAGAGCCGCACGGCUGGCUACUGUAUUCUCGGUAAUCUUCAUCGUCAUCACAGCUGCGUUGCGAGCAUGAACGUUUGAUUCCUGUCAUUGGGGUUUCACAGACUCUGUCAUCGCAUGAACCUCUAUGAUCCUUCCUUUUAAACAGCUUUCGAAGCGGAUUUGACUUUGGUUUCAAUGGUUUCAGCCGUUUGGGGGCCCAAACUCUCUGCAGAUCGGGCAUCCAUCUUGUGGAUGAAGCGAAUCUCCAAGCCCUCUCUCUCCUCUCUUGAGCUUCAAGUAACUUGCGAGCAUGGUCGUCCUAUUGUUUGAUCUCUUCGACGCUUGGUCUUCCAAUAUCAGUUUUCAGCGGACGAAGAGACUCACCUUCUGCUUGUAAUGAGUCCCAGAUUCUAUAACUUCCAUCCACUUCGACACUCUUCGGUUUUUCUUUACAGGAUCGAUUGCUAUCCUCACUGUUGAGUAAACUAUUAGGGAGUUCUUCCUCAUCAGCAAACAGUAACAAAUCCAUUUUCGUAUAGAUUUUGUGAACCACAUCUUCAAGUGUCUCACAGUACCUGAAAAAUGUCCAAAUUCAGGCUCUUGACAAUUUGACAAAGCAUUUCAUUGAAAAGGUUCAAUCCUUACUACCAUUAUAAUUUAUAAUGUGUUGUAUGGUUUACCUCGUAAUGGUGCUAAGUUAUUUCUACAGUUUUGGGGCAUUUUUUUUGCAGUUUCGGUGCAAUUUUGAUGCAGUUCUUUUUUUUUGCAAUUUUGCUGCAUUGUUGUUGCUGUUUUUGCUGCAUGUUCAUUGAUUAAUAAAAAGGUCGUACCCAGUGCACAAGGCUCCCUUGAUUAAUAUAUGAGAAAAAUAAGACUGUCAUAUGCUUAAAUAGGUGUAUAUUUUAAAUUAUACAUUUUUUUUUCAAAAAUCGAACCGAAACUGUUUGAAACCGUACCGCACCAAACCAAACGGUUUGGUUUCAUUUCAGUUUUGGCUUCAAAACUGCACCGAACCGCACCGCAAAAAAAUUUGGUUUCGGUUGCGGUUUCACUCGAAACCGCACCGAAGCGCACCGCGCCCACCCCUACAGGGGACUUGUCGAUGAAGGUUUAGGGGAAGAGAAGUAUGACAGACGUGUCUUGCGGGUACAAAAUGGGUGCCAGUCUUCUGCAUGCAUGGAACCGCGUGAACCAAGUUAGGGCCUGUUUAGUCCAAGUUUCACUUGACAACUUAGAAAUUUGUCAAUUAAGUUAGGUCGUGUUGGAAAUUCUUUUUUCAAAAACCACUCAUAAGUGCUUUUAAUAUUUUUCGUAAGAAUGCAAGCGUUUUUAGAAAACACACUCAAGGUGCUUAGCGUGUGCUUUUUUUUAGAAAGCACUUUUAAGUGUUUUUUCAACCUAAAAACACUUGUUUUAAAGACACUUCCAACAAACACAUAAUUAAUGGAAAAUUACUUCCAGAGAGAAAUAUAGCAUGCUAUUUGAGAGAUUCCAAAACUAAAAGCUAAAUAGUUAUUAAGCGUGACCUUAACCAAGGUGAAAUAAAAUAUCAAAUUUGACAAACAAUCUGAUGAACGUCAUAGCUAUAUGUAUAGUCAGUAGAUGAGAUAAUCAUGAAACAAAACGUGGAGAAUCAACACAGCCUUAUCAUGGCCAAAAUUUGUCUGUGUGCCAGAACCACGGCCUAGUACACUAAAAGUGUCAUAAUAGAAUUGGUUGGAAAUUCAUUCGGUUACAACUGACUCUGAAGUCUUUAUUUCUGCACAACCACAUAGUGAGAUGUUUGCUUACCAUGCAACCAUGAUGUCCAAUACUCUUGGUACCUCAAUCGUUGUCUUUACCAAAACUGGUUUUAUGGCUAUUCUAUUGAGCCAUUACCGACCUACCGGGAUCAUAUUUGCCUUCACGAAUGAGUGAGUUUUCAAUUUACCUGUCACAAAGGCAUUUAGUUAAAAUUUGUAACUGUAUCAGUCAAAAUAUGCUGUGAAAGUUCUAUUCAUUAGCAAGUACUUUGAUUGCCAUGCAGUAAGAGCAUACAACGGAGAUUGGCUUUGUAUCAAGGCGUAUGUCCAAUAUAUACAUGGAGUUCACAGAAGAUUCUGAAACAAGCUUUAGCAAUGCCUUGACUGUGCUGAAGGUGAUGUUUUGCUGCAGAUUUCCUAAAUUUAUGGCGACGUAUGCUAUUCAACCAUGCCAGCACUGAUGGUUCAUUUUCUGUUGUUCUGUUUGCAGGAGCAAGGAUUGGUAAAGGCAGGAGAAGAGGUCGCACUCGUUCAAAGUGGCAGGCAACCCAUUUGGCGGCUCCAAUCCACUCACAAAAUUCAAGUGCGCAAAAUUUAGGUGCAACGGAGAUGGAAUAAUCGCCCUCGUAACAUAGAUUUCUUCGUCUACACUACAAAAGUUUCAAAUGAUAGCUUUUGUGUUGUACUUCCAGCGGAAUUGUCGUGAUACUUUCUUCCUUUGGUUGUUUUUUUUCUUCUGUUGCACACUUUUGUGAUCCUAUCAAUGUGCUUCUUUUUGUUUCCGAUUUCCCCCUAGUUAAUUUUGGCGUAUGUUUUAGAACUGUAAGUUGUUAAAGUAUAAAUUUGGCAGUUUGAAUGCAAACUGUCUAAAUUUUUUUAAUAGUUCGAUUGAGGAAACAGAUCGUCACACUCACAUUCUAAUAUCCGCCGCUUACCGUUUGUCGUGUGGCCGUUUAACACUGACUAAGGUAGAUCUCACAUCAGAUCAGCACGGGACUAGGUUCCGUGCUCUUGUGAAAGUUAUUCUACGUACGACGUGAUUCUACACAUGGUUUGUGGUUUGGGCUUGAACCGGUCUCUACGAAAUGAGGCAGAUUUUUUGUUUAUUAACAAAGGUCAAAAGUCAAACAAAAAUUGUUGAUACAGACUAUCUUAAACAAAAUUAAACAACAUUCGCUUGAAUAAUUAUCAAAUUGACAAUGUCUCAUAGGUGAUGCUGUCCAUACACUCUUUUUAUUUUUCACUCACUCCUCCCAAUUUUUAACCGUCAGAUCGAAUAAAUUAAAGAUGAUCAAAAGACAAAAAUUAACUGAAGAUAUGUGAAAGAAAAAACAAAAUGUAUAUAUAGCAUCACCUAUCUUAUUAGGAUAAUGACAUCCGAUUUAUUUGAUAUAAUCUUUUAGGGAAACCAAAACGUUGAGUUACAAAAGUCAAACUCUUCCGAUGAUGGAAUAACUAUAUCCAUUUUUAUCAUCACAAAACUCGGACCCUAACAUCACACCACCAUACUUCGACGACUUCUUUAUCACCAGUAGAAUUUCCGAAUUCAGCAAAGCAGCCACAAUAUACCCACUUCUGGCCACCUCAGGAGUGGCCGGCAACCCCAAAAACAUCUUCCCUUUCUAAUACAUUAAUGAUGUCAGUUGGCGUCUUAACAAGAUGGGAGACUUUGGAGUCGCUUUAUUGGGAUCUCCCGAGUACUCGGUACUCUAUGUAUUUUAACCGUUAAAUCUUUGUUUAAAAAUAUAAAAAUCAAAUUCUAACAGUUAAAAUAUUCAAAAUAUCCAUAGUACCGCUCGAAAUUUUUUGAGACAUUAAAUGCAAUCCCUCCAAGAAAUCAUCUCAAAUUUUUUUGAGACAUUAAAUGCGAUCUCUCCAAGAAAUUAUUAGAUUAUACCGUAGUACCAUCUCAGCCGUGGUAGUUUCAUCCAAAGGCUAGCCUUUACAAUAUGAGCUAGCCAGCCUUCAUGCACACAGUGCCUGCCAAUCAUGUAAAACCAUUGACAAUGAUACAUGACAAUUUAUUUGGACCUAUAACUUCAUUUCAUAACUACAUCAGAUAACCGUUUAUGUGCAACUAUAUUUUAUUCAAUUUCAAAAAUUAGCAUAUGCAAUGACAUGUUUUAUCGUAAAAAGUACAAGAAAUUUUCAACGUAUCACAAAUACAAAGUGUUAUACCACAUGUCAUUAUAUAAAGAGAAAUUUUUUAUAUUUUAAGUCUGUCUCCACUUAUAUAAUAUGUGUUGUACCAUCCGAAUUCCGGAUCAGUAAAAGAUCUCUCCAAAAAUACAUAUGCAUGUUUUAUUCAAAAGGUUAGGAAUGAUGCGUCAUCAUCCCUAACGCACUUUAUUAUAAGUAGUAUCAUCCAUUGAGGCAGAGAAGUUAAUUAGAUGCUGUCCUUAAUGGAUGCACUAUAGCCGUUGACAAUGUCAUACUGCCUGCCCCAGAGCAUAAUUCCUCCGUACUUGGGCGAUUUCUUAAUCGUUGGAAGAACUUGUGACUUGAGAGCGUCAGCAGGAAUAAAUCCGCCGCCCGGAGCGGCCUCAGGAGCUGCCGGUAUACCCAAGAACACCUGGGUGGCCGGAACCGAGGCCCAUUGGUUCCAACUGCUCAAAAGAGCGUCGGCAUUACCGUCUGCAUACUGGCAUGGGGGGUUGUUGUAGAACUGAACCCAAACGUAGUCAAAUAAACCGGUUUGGAUAGCGCCGUCUAGGUGAGCAUCCGGGAUCGGACAUUGUGGAGCUGCGGCUAAAUAGACCGUUUUUGCCUGUCCGUUGUGUCCGUUGAGUGACCUGGCGAGCUCAUCAUAGAACUGCGCACCACCCGCCUCAAUGUCGAAAUCAACGCCGUCCAAAACCGCGUCCCCAAGCGGGCGCGAAGCGGACUGACCACCUAAGAAGUUGUUCCAGAUGUAAUCAGCAACUUGCCUUGCAUCAUCAGCUGAAGUGAGAGAGUAACUUCCGGCGGCCCCUCCAAUCGAGAGGAGGACUUUUAUGUUUUUUGAUUGGCAGGUUCUGAUGUCGGCACUCAGCCCCGUGCAAGUACCACUAGAGGGGUCGCAGUGGCCGGCGAGGUUUAGGACAGGGGUUUGGUUGUUUCCGAAAGUAGUGAGGAAAGCUAUGUUAACAAACUGGUAGUUGCCUGAGUUGCAAGCAUCUGCUAGGGUUCCUUCAUUGCCGUUUUGGCCCCAAUACGUCGCGAUUCCGGCGGCUUGGGAGGACUUGCAUGAAGAAAUGAGGAUCAAGAGGGACAGCGUUAGGGCUAGGGUUUGUGUUUUGGAUGCCAUUUUUGUAUGUUUUUUUGGGUUGUUGUUCAAAGUGCUUGGGAGUGGACUUGUACUUAUAGGUGCAGGGGACUUAUCCGUUAAGGUUUAGGGGAAGAAAAGUAUGACAGACGUGUUCUGCGGGUUAGAAAUGGGUGCCAGUCUUCAGCUUGGAACCUCGUCAAUCAAGUUAGCUAGGGCCUGUUUAGUCCAAGAAGUUUCACAUAAAACGCCGAUUAAGUUAGGUCGGGUUGGAAAUGCUUUCUUCAAAAACUACUUACACACGUAAGCGCUUCUUAUAUUUUUCAUAAGAAUGCAAGUGCUUUUGAAAAAAAACACUUGAGCUGUUUCGUGUGUUUUUUUCAGAAAAUACUUUAAAUGUUUUUUCAAACUAAAAAUCCAUUAAAGCUCCUUUACUUGUUUAAGGGCACUUCCAAAAUCAUAUUUAAAGAAAAAUUACUUCUAGAGAGAAUUAUAACAUGCUAAUUGAGAGAUCCCGAAACUAGAAACUAGAUAGUUAUAAUGAAGCGUGACCUUAACUGCUUAAUUAAGUGAAAAAAGCCAUCAAAUUUGACAAAAAGUCUGAUGAAAGGUCAUAGCUGUAUCAUCUGUAGAUGAGAUAAUCAUGAAACAAUGUGGGGAAUCAACACAUCCUUAUCAUCGUCAAAAAAAAAAAUUCACUGUGCUGGAAGCACGUUCAAUUGAACGUUUUGGAAGUUUGUGGAUAGAAACCAAAUGGAAUAUGCUUGUAACCAAAAUUGCUGGCUGCUAUAUACAUCUUGGAUUUUAGCUGAGGUGGCCAUUGGCCAAGGACUUUGGUCUAAUCACGAUGCUUUAAUUUCGCAAUCCAAAAAAAAAAUUCAGAUAAAAUUUAGAACACGUUUUGGGAGUGCUUUCAAAUUACUGAAAGCGAUUUUAGAAAGAAAAAAAAUGUUUAUAUAACUAAUCUUUAAUAAAAAUGCAAGUUAAUCCUCCAAAAGUACUGAAACUAGUGCUUCUUUGAUAAAACACUUCAAGUGCUUUUGGAGCUCAAAAAUAUUAUCUCAAGUGGUUUCAGUCAUUUAAAAACACUUUCUAAACGAGUUAAUGACUCGUGUAUGGGGCAACAUUUAGCAAGUAACGGCUCUCAUGAAUUGGAUUGUGGUGAUGUGAAAAUGGGUUUGGGUAAGUUUAGUUUAGACCAGUCAGCAGUGUUUAAAAUAUCCACGACAUUAUCGAUAUUUUCGUUGAAAUAUCCUUAAAAUUAAGGGUCCAUAAGCAAAAGAAGGAUGAAAUGCAAACUUCACCCUAUAUCGGCAAGAUACAAGAAAACAAUGAAUAUAGACAAUAUGUAACAACUCGUCCCAAGAUUUACUGUAUAUAAAUGGUAUUUUUGUAUUUUCAUCAAGUUUGGGAAUUUAUCUUCCUUUUAAAAUUUGUUUUUGGUCUUAAAUGGUGAUCCAAGGGGACCCACUCCCCUGAUUUUGUCCCCGAGCCCUCUUCUCUCUUUCUUCCUCUCCUCUUCCCUUUCCCCUUUCCCGUAUACUUCUAUUCCUCUCUUCUCUAUGAUCACACUCACACCCAGCUGCACUCCCUGCUCGAGGAAGACGCAAUCACCAUCUAAACCACGUCCCUUUCCUCUUCCUCUUGCCUCUGUGCAACUCGGCGAAACCAAGAAAAUAACCUCCGGCAAGUCCGACGGCUUUCGAAGCCAUUUCCUGCCAAACCACGGCGCGUUGGCCGGCGUGCAAGGUAUCAAUCUCUUCGUCCCGUCAAGUACUAUAACUUUUCUUUUUGUUUCACUCAAUUUAAUUGAGUAUUGAAGAAGUUAUACUCAUUUGAAUCUUACCCAGUUUCCGGCGACCUCCGAGGCUUUCGAGGAAAUUUCAGGCCAAACCAUGGCGAGUCAGACGUGAGGUAUCAUUCUCUUCGUCUCUUCCAGGACUACAACUUUCGUUUUUGUCUCGCUUGAUUUCGUUGAGUAGUGACAAAGUUAUGGCUGUUUAAAGUGGGGUGGUUUUCCGGCCGAAUUUCCGGCCUUCUUCUUCCUUGGCAACAGGCCACCCGGCCUUUCCCUCUCCCUCGGACCUUAGGCCCGUGUUGUCUUAAGCCCAAAACCCUAGCCUUUAGUUUUAAGUUUUAUUAUUUGGUUUUAAAACCCUAAAAAGGGCCUUGGGCCGGUGGUUUUUAAAAAGGGCUUAAAGCCCUGUUUUUCUUUAUUUAUUUUUAUUAAGGCCUUAAGGCCUUGUGAUUUUGUGCCCGUGGGUGUGUGUGUUAGGUGUGUAUGUGUUUAUGCAUGCACAUGCAUGCCGUGUGUGUGUGUGUAUUUGUAGUAUGUGUGUGUUUGGGCUAAAGCCCAAACCCCAAUUCUCACCCUAAAACCAUUUUAACCCAAAAUCCUAGGUUCCUAAAAUCCUUUAAAACCCUAAACCCAUCCAAUCCCAAAUCCCCUAUUUUAUUUAAACCUAAACCCUAAUCCGGAUUUCAAGCCUAAAACCCAUUUGACCGUUGACCCCCGGUCAACGUUGAUUUUAGGGUUGACUUUUCGGGUUUUCGUCCGGGACCCUUCUUAGGGUAAUUCGACGUUCUAAAUCCGUUUCCAAUGUCCAUUUUCCCAAAUUCAAUUGUUAUUAUAUAGUUUUAUUUAUUGGACUCUUUAUGUGCUUAGGGGCAAUUAUUGUGACGUUUCCAUCUUCGCUAGUGGCACAGCUUUUGGCAACUAAGUAUUGUGAGUGGACCCCUUCUAGAAUUACAUGAUUUGAUAAUUUAAUUGCAUAAAUGAUUAGCAUGCCUACGAAUUUAUGAUUUGAUUUAUGUGAAGCCUGAUGAUUUAAUAUAUUGAUUAUCGUCUCGGGUUUUGGUGAGGAAUUAUUUGUUAGCCUAUAUUGAGCUAUAUUUUAAUAUAUCGUAUUUUCUAUUAAAACCAUGAACUGGUAGACUAUCUGAUAGAUGACGAUAGGAUGCUAGAACAUGUUUUUGAACCCCUCUUUAUAGUGUAGACGAUGAUCGGUAACCUAUGCUAUGAAGUGGUUUUUUUUAGAGAGACGUAACUAUUUGUGCGUACCUAGUAGACACUAUGCCGCCUGGGGCAAGGAACUGGUGUUGGCAUUUAGGCCGGGAGAAAUAAUCCCUAGCGAAAGGCUGAGGGACACGGAGACAGGCAGUGGGCCAAGAGGGAGUUAUCUCUGGCUACGGGCACAGAGACUGAGGUGCAAGCAUUGGGCCGGGAGUUAUAUUUAUUCAGUGAUCUUUCUAGCAGCACACUGCGUUUACGAGACGAUUUAUGAUGCGUUUACUGUUUUGAUUUCCGCGAUGUUUUUCCGCGUUAUGGCGUUUGAGAUAUUUUUGGCAUACUAGGAUUUUUAUUAAAUCCAUCACUUAUUAUGCUAGUAGUUUUCAUUUAUAUAAACUUUGGGGGUUAGUAUGUUGAUAAUUGUUUUAUUAUUAUUGUAUAUAUAAACUUGGUCCACUCACCUUUGUUUUGCGCCCCCAUUCAGGACUUAGAAUCAAGGCACCUAAUCCCGGCGUGAAGACACUUUCGCAGCAGCAUCUUCGGAUCCUCUCGAUGUAGGACUCACUCCUUUACUCAUUAAAUUUUAUCUUAAUUCUUUUUAGUGAUUAGAUUUAGUUGUAUGCUCUGAGCACGUUCCUAAAACUUUUAACUCUUAGUUUUUAAAUUCAUAACACUUACUUAUUUCUUAUUCUUAGCUUUUGUAUCAAUUAAUGGCUUUCGUCACCCUCGGGUGUCGGCCAGCAUGUGUCUUCCUGGUAUUCGGGGAAUAUCAGGGUCGGGGCGUGUCACAAUAUUUACGGAUUAAUUACAAAAUUUUGCUAAUACCUAUUGCAGAUUUCGAACUGUAGAAUUUUUUUUAUAAAUUUUUUCUUUAAUUUCAACUAAAUCUGAAUGAGUACUUACCCCAUUGUAAAUUUCCAUCGAAGACUUUCCAACUAUAUCGAUAUUUUAAACACUGGUUUAGACCAACAUGUUUAAUAUCCAGUGCAUGCAAAUAGAAUGUCAAAUCUUUUUGAAAAACUUCAGUAUGACUGCCACUUAAGGGCAACUAGCAUAUUAAAGAGACCAAUGCAAAGUUGGAUGAGACUAAAAUACAUAAAGUCUCAUGUUUUGGUGAGAUGUGGUUUACAAAUGAUAUAGCAUGUGCCCUACGAAAAACGAGAUCGGAUUACCUAAUUGAAGUUUCUCUAGCAUGAAAAAUUCAAGAGGGAUGUGACGGUUCCGGAAAGUAAAAAAUCACACAUUUUUAUUAAUAAUUUUUUUGUUCGAAUUCGGAAAUGUAUAGAACUGAACAAAUGGAAUAGUGGCUCAGUGAUACCAACAAUUUCAUGUUGCAAAUUACAAAAAAAAAAAAAAAAAAAAAAAAAAAAGGAAAUGUUUUACACAAAAUUAAUGACAAUUAGAGUUAAACAACAGAAACUUGCACUUUAAAUGGUUUUUUUCUGCUGCUUUUGGUAUGUAUAUGCUUUUUCCGCACCGCUGGCUACUGUAUUCUCGGUAAUUUUCAUCGUCAUCCCAGCUGCGUUGCGAGCAUGAACGUUUGAUUCCUGUCAUUGGGGUUUCACAUACUCUGUCAUCACAUGAACCUCCAUGAUCCUUCCUUUUAAACAGCUUUCGAAGUGGAUUUGACUUUGGUUUCAAUGGUUUCAGCUGUUUUGGGGCCCAAAUUCUCUGCAGAUCGGGCAUCCAUCUUGUGGAGUAAGCGAACCUCCGAGCCCUCUCUCUCCUCUCUUGAACUUCAAGUAACUUGCGAGCAUGGUCGUCCUUUUGUUUGAUCUCUUCAGCGCUCGGUCUUCCAAUAUCAGUUUUCAGCGGACGAAGAGACUCACCUACUGCUGGUAAUGAAUCCCAGAUUCUAUAACUUCCAUCCACUUCGACACUCUUCGGUUUUUCUUUACAGGAUCGAUUGCUAUCCUAACUGUUGAGUAAACUAUUAGGGAGUUCUUCCUCAUCAGCAAACAGCAACAAAUCCAUUUUCUUAUAGAUUUUGCGAACCACAUCUUCAAGUGUCUCACAGUACCUGAAAAAUUCCAAAUUCAAAGAUUAAUCUAUCUGCUUAAGUUAAUUUUCCAUCUCAAACAAAAAUUGAUUGCCCGCACAUGUACUUCCGGAAAACUAAUUCCAGGAACGGAUUAUUUAAGCAACAUCGUUUCUUCAAGGAUCAUACUGUAGACAUACACUAUUGGCACAUUGCAAAAGUUGUAUAAACAUAUUCCACACUCGUUCAGAAAAACAUGGGUACGAUGUGCGCAUAACUGGCCUAUAUCCUGUCAAUCUACACUGAUAAGGAAAGACACUUUAACUCAUCUAAGAUUAUAAAGACAACCACUUUCCUUAUUUAGCAUUGUUGCAAAGGUAAGUAGGACAUGAUUUGUUAGAUAGGUAGUAAUAUCCCACAUGAAAGUGGAACACAGUGGCACCGGAAAUGUGUAUUUGUUGAGACAUGAACGAUAGACUGAAUGCAGCGUGUGCUAUAUAGCCUUUCAGCGAAAGCCAUAAUGCCUCAGUAAAACAUCCAUUAUAUAAAGUAAAGAAUAAUUUCAAGGGUAGGGGUUUUCAACUGUGGUACAGAUUUAUUACCUGCUUUUUAUGAUCUUUUCAACAUAAUCAUACACUCCAGUCACCAAAGAAGCCCUCCAGAUGACAUCGAAUUUUCUCCAAAAAGGAGCAAAUCUGUUUUACAGACUUCUGUUUUGUAGAUUCAGCAAUACGUGCACCAACCUCUGAUUGUAGUAUCUCCAUCCGGAAAAAUAUCUGCAAUUCAUAUCGUGCACGAGCUGGCGCAAGGAGGCGGCGAAGCACGAAGCCCGGGGCGGCGAUGCCGGGUCGAGGCGAAAUGCGGGGAGGGAAUUGAGGGUUUGGGAGAGGGAAUUGAAAGUGGGGCCGGGGAGGUGGAAAGAGAGGGAGAGAGAAGUGGGGAGCUUGGAGGAGGAGAGCAGCGGAGAGAGGGAGGAGAAGAAGGGUCUGAAGGCGAAGAGAGAGGCGGAGAGAGGAGGGAAAGAGAGGAUGGUUUUGACGGCGGCGAGGAAGGCUGUGAGAAAUGGAGCUGGGUUUUGGAGGUGGAGGAGUGGGUUGAGGCCUAGGAGGAGGACGAUGCGCUGCGUUUUGCCGUAGUCGGCGAUUGGGUCGCCGGAGCUCCGUUCAGAUGCCAUCGCAUUUGCAGGAGGAGAAAGAGACGGACUUGGGUUGCAGAGAAGGGAGAUGCAAAUGUGGAAUUAAGGAACAGUAAACCGAAUACGCAGUCGUUUUAGUAGAAAAACGACGAUACGGUAGAUGCUUGAGCGGGAAACCAAAUUUUGGCUGUAAAGGAAAUGUUUUAGGCCCCGUUUGGGAUUGAGGUGAUUUUAAAAAAAGCCACUGUGAAAAAAAGCUGAGGGUCAUUUUUGUGUUUGGUAAACUGAAAAAAGGGCUUAUUUUGGAAGCUGCUGUGAAAAUAAGCUGAAAAUCAAAGGAAAAGCUGAAGCUGCUAUUUGCUGCUUUGAAAAAAAGCCAGUUUUUUCAAAGCACACAGAGCUACAAUGCUCCUUUAAUGAAAAGACACACUAUCAUCCUGAUUUUUUUUCCAAAAGCACUUUCACAAAAAAGUUUACCAAACACUCUACUGCUUUAUUUCACAGCCGCUUAUUCUCACAGCACAGCCGCUUAUUCUCACAGCAGCUUUUUUUCAAAGCACAGCAAUACCAAACCAGCCCUUAAUCUCAUGAAGGACCUGUUUGGACUGCAUCUAAAUUUGUUAAAAGCGCUUUUAGAGAACAAAAGAGCUUUUGACAUCAGUUGAAAAAAAAAAAAUAUUUAAAGUACUUCUUCACGUGAAAAAAACACAUGGUUUUUAAUGAAAAUUCCAACAUGAUUUGAAUGAAAGUGCUUUCAAAAAGUAUUAUGAAUAGAUAUGCUUUUUUAUAUGCUUCUAUGAAAAGUGCUUUUUGCAAACAAUGUCGGGCUCGUUUGUAAUUACUUUUAAAAUGGUUGAAAGUGUAUUUCGUAAAAAUAUUUUUAGAAACAAUAUUUAGUAAAAUGCAAGUGAAUCCUAAAAAAAACACUUCAAGAAUAGAACAACCAAAGGGGCGAAAACUGUAAACCUCAUAGCAACCGAAUUACAAUUCGAGAACAUACCCGUUACUGAAUCCCAAAUCGCUGGUUCCCAAGUGUAGUCAUGCACAAGCUCGUUUAGAACCAAUAUUUUCUCUAAGAACGAUUUCAAUCAUUUGAAAAACAUUUUUAAACGAACUGAUGUUUUUAGGAGAAACACAAUGAGGAGCAAAUGAUUCCUAGGCGAGAAGAAAAACUAGACAGAAUGUUAAAUAGCACAUUAUGUACCAAUUUUUCUUCAACAAAUUGGAACUACUGAGAAGUUUGGAAACUAAAAAGUAAAGAUUGAUUCUAAGGAUUCUAACCCUGAUGAUUGCUUAUACAGUCGAACUACUUGAAUAGACUGGACUACCGAAGAUAAACUCAUACAUAUACGAAUUAUUAAAAAGUGAAAGAGGCUCAUCUCAGUUUUUUUUUUUUUUUUUAGUUGAAAGAAAAAAAAGGUAAAACAUGGAGAAGAUCAUGAACAGUAAUGGGUUUUAGUAUAUAUAAAUAUAAUUUGUAACUGUAUCUGUCCAAAUAUGCCGUGCAAGUUCUAUUCAUUAGCAGGUACUUUGAUUGCCAUGCAGUAAGAGCAUACAACGGAGAUUGGCUUUGUAUCAAGGCGUACGUCCCAUACACCUCUUUUAUGGGUGAUGCUGUCCACACACUUCUUUUAAUUACCAGUCGUCAUAUAGAAUGAAUUCAAGAGGAUCAAAUGACUAAAAUUAACAGAGAAUAUGUAAAAGAUAAACCAGAGUGUAUGGAUAACACCACCCUAUCUUAUUAGGAUAAUAACAUCCGAUGUGUUUGAUAUAAUCUUUUAGGGACUAACCAAAACAUUGAGUUACAAAAGUCAAACACUUCCGAUGAUGGAAGAACUAUAUCCACUUCUAUCGUCACAAAACUUGGACAAUAACAUCACACCACCAUACUUUGACGACUUCUUUAUCACCGGCAGAAUUUCCGAAUUCAACAAAGCAGCCGGAACAUACCCACUCUUGGCCGCCUUAGGAGCCGCCAGCAACCCCAAAAACAUCUUCCCUGUCUAAUACAAUGAUGUCACUUGGCGUCUUAACAAGAUGGGAGACUUUGGAGGGACUUUAUUGAGUACUCCAGAGUACUCAGUACUCUCAUUUGUUUAAAAAUAUAAAAAUCAAAAUCUAACGAUUAAAACAUCUAGAGUAUCCAUAUAUAGUACUGCUCAAAACUUUUUGAGACAUUGGACGUGAUCCCUCCUAGAAAUUAUUAAGUUAUACAGUAGUACACUUCAGCCGUGAUACUUUCAUUCAAAGGCUAGCUUUAUACUAAUAUGUGAUACUUUCAUUCCAUAUUUGAGAGCCAUUGGAUAAGUAUAAAGCUAACCUUUACAAUAUGAGCUAGUUAGUUAGCCUUCACACACACAGUGCCUGCCUAUCAUGUAACCAUUGACAAUGAUACCCGACAAUUUAUUUGGAGAGAGGGUCCUCACUCAUUUAUUUGGACCUAUAACUUCAUUUCAUAAUAACUCCAUCACAUCAUUUUAUGUACCAUAGUUUAUUCAAUUUCAAAAAUUAGUACACGCAAUAACAUGUUUUAUCGUAAAAUAUACGAGGUUUUUUAGUAUAUUAGAAAUACGAGAUGAUGCACCACAUGUCAUUAUAUAAAUGAAGAGAAAUUUUUUUUUUUUUUAAAUGUGCCUCCACUUAUAUAAUGUAUUGUACCACCCAAAUUCUGAAUAAGUGAAAGAUCUCUCCAAAAAAUACAUAUGCAUGUUUUAUUCAAAAGGUAAGGAAUGAUGCGUCAUCAUCCCUAACACACUUUAUUAUAGUAGUAGCAUCAAUUGAGGCAGAGAAGUUAAUUAGAUGCUGUCCUUAAUGGAUGCACUAUAACCGUUGUCAUAGAACCUGCUCCAAAGCAUAACUCCUCCGUACUUGGGCGAAUUCUUAAUCGUUGGAAGAACUUGUGACUUGAGAGCGUCAGCAGGAAUAAAUCCGCCGCUUGGAGCGGCCUCAGGAGCUGCCGGUAACCCCAUGAACACCUGGGUGGCCGGAACCGAGGCCCAUUGGUUCCAACUGCUUAAAAGAGCGUCGGCAUUACCGUCUGCAUACUGGCAUGGGGGGUUGUUGUAGAACUGAACCCAAACGUAGUCAAAUAAACCGGUUUGGAUAGCGGCGUCCAGGUGAGCAUCCGGGAUCGGACAUUGUGGAGCUGCGGCUAAAUAGACCGUUUUUGCCUGUGCGUUGUGUCCGUUGAGUGACCUGGCGAGCUCAUCAUAGAACUGCGCACCACCCGCCUCAAUGUCGAAAUCAACGCCGUCCAAAACCGCGUCCCCAAGCGGGCGCGAAGCGGACUGACCACCUAAGAAGUUGUUCCAGAUGUAAUCAGCAACUUGCCUUGCAUCAUCAGCUGAAGUGAGAGAGUAACUUCCGGCGCCCCCUCCAAUCGAGAGGAGGACUUUUAUGUUUUUUGAUUGGCAGGUUCUGAUGUCAGCACUCAGCCCCGUGCAAGUACCACUAGGGGGGUCGCAGUGGCCGGCGAGGUUUAGGACAGGGGUUUGGUUGUUUCCGAAAGUAGUGAGGAAAGCUAUGUUAACAAACUGGUAGUUGCCUGAGUUGCAAGCAUCUGCUAGGGUUCCUUCGUUGCCGUUUUGGCCCCAAUAGAUCGCAAUUCCGGCGGCUUGGGAGGACUUGCAUGAAGAAAUGAGGAUCAAGAGGGACAGAGUUAGGGUUAGGGUUUGUGUUUUGGAUGCCAUUUUUGUAUGUGUUUUUUUGGGUUGUUGCUCAAAGUGCUUGGGAGGGGACAUGUACUUAUAGGUGGAGACUUACUGGUUAAGGUUUAGGGGAAGAAAAAUAUGACACACGAGUUCUGCUUGUAAGAAAUGGAUGCCAGUCUUCUGCUUGUCAAUCAAGUUAGCUAGGGCCUGUUUGGUCGAAGUUUCACAUGAAACGUCGAUUAAGUUAGGUCGGGUUGGAAAUGCUUUCUUCAAAAACCACUUACACACGUAAGCUCUUCUUAUAUUUUUCAUAAUAAUGCAAGUGCUUUUGGAAAAAACACGAGAGGUGUUUCGCAUGUGUUUUUUUCAAAAAGCACUUCAAAUAUUUUUUCUACCUAAAAAUCCAUUAAAGCUCCUUUACUUGUUUUAAAGAAACUUCCAAAAUAAUAUUUAAAGAAAAAUUACUUCUAGAGAGAAUUAUAACAUGCUAAUUGAGAGAUCCCGAAACUAGAAACUAGAUGGUUAUAGUGAAGCGUGACCUUAACUGCUUAAUUAGGUGAAAAAAGCCAUCAAAUUUGACAAAAAGUCUGAUGAAAGGUCAUAGCUGUAUGCAUAAUCCGUAGAUGAGAUAAUCAUGAAACAAUACGUGGGGAAUCAACACAGCCUUAUCAUCGUCAAAAAAUUUUAGUGUUCUAGAAACACGAUCUGAUAUACAAAAUGUUUUAACAUCAAUUGAACGUUUUGGAAAUUUGUGGAUAGAAACCAAAUGGAAUAUGCUUGCUAGCUGCUAUAUACAUCUUGGAUUUUAGCUGAGGUGGCCAUUGGCCAAGGACUGCGAUCUAAUCACGAUGCUUUAAUUUCGCAGUACGAAAAAAAUUUCAGAUAAAAUUUAGAACAUGUUUAGGGAGUGCUUUCAAAUCACUGAAAGCGAUUUUAGAAAGAAAAAAAAUGUUUAUACAACUAAUUUUUAAUAAAAAUGCAAGUUAAUUCUCUAAAAGUAUUGAAAUUAGUGCUUCUUUGAUGAAUUACUUUAAGUGCUUUUGGAGCUCAAAAAUAUUUUCUCAAGUGGUUUCAGUUAUUUAAAAACACUUUCUAAACGAGUUAAUGACUCGUGUAUGGCAACAUUUAGCAAGUAAUAGCUCUCAUGAAUUGGAUUGUGGUGAUGUGAAAAUGGGUUUGGGUAAGUUUAGUUUAGAUCAGUCACCAGUGUAUAAAAUAUCCAUGAAAUUGUCGAUAUUUUCAUCAAAAUAUCCUUAAAAUUUAGGGUCCAUAAGGAAAAGAAGGGUAAAAUAUAAAUUUCAACCUAUAUUGGCGAGAUAUAAGAAAACAAUGAAUAUCGACAAUAUUUACCAAUUAACUACAAAAUGUUGCUAAAACCUAUUGCAGAUUUUGAACUUUAGAAUUUUUUUUUUAUAAAUUUUUUCUUUAAUUUCGACUAAAUCUGAAUGAGUUGAUACUUGAUAUGCUUAUCCCAUUGUAAAUUUCCAUCAAAGACUUUCCAACUAAAUCGAUAUUUUAAACAUUGGUUUAGACCCACAUGUUUAAUAUCCAGUGCAUGCAAAUAGAAUGUCAAAUCUUUCAGAAAAACUUCAGUAGGACUGCCACUUAAGGGCAACUAGCAUAUUAAAGAGACCAAUGCAAGGUUGGAUGAGACUAAAAUACAUAAGAGCAAUUCCACCGGGGACCAAAUGUCCCAGCCUCCAGUCCAAAAACCAAGCCAGGCCUCUGUCAAUCAAGUCCACCCCAACAAACUGACUGGUACCCAGCCCGAGUUGGGCAAGAGCCCAGCCCAAAAGAGACUGAGACAGAAGCCGGGGAAGAAGCCUGGCGCGUGCACUUCACGUAGCCGUUUGGCGAGUGCCCGACAAGCUUUCAGACGCCGGGGCCCGCGUGCAGGCGCUGUCAGUCCCCCCCCCGAGUUGCGACGUGGCUACCUCUCUGCCGUUGGAUUUCCAACGGCUAGUUUUCUAGACCGUUGGAUUUCCAACGGUAAAAAAAUUUUAAAUUUUACUUUUAAACUAGACCGUCGGAUCAAAGAUCAACGGUCCACGUUUUUUUCACAAAAAGUAAAUUAAAAAAAAAAAAAAAGGGCCCAACGGUCAGAAAUAUGACCGUUGGCCACGUGGCAACUCCCUAGCUCUUGGAUUUGAAUAUUUUUCAAAUCCAACGGUCCAGAUUAAUUAACUAUAUUAAAAUUCAUUAAAAAUUAUUAAAAAAUACAGAAAAAUUAUUAAAAAAUACAGAAAAUUUUAAAAAAAUUACAGAAAAUUUUGAAAAAUGUUAAUUUUUUUUCCUAUAAAUACCUAACCCUCAUCUUCUACCUUUACACCACAUUCCAAUAUUUUCUACACUUUCUAUACUAUCUACAUUUCAAAAUAUUUUCUACACUUUAAGAGAAAAAAAAUGUCUUCGUGGAAGCUCAUUGAAGAUGUUACGUUGUGUGAAUGUUGGGUUCACACUACUCAUGAUCCGAUUACGGGUAAUGAGAUGGAUAAGCGAGAGAUGUGGAGUAAAAUUACGAAAGCGUUUUGUGAUGUACAUGGAGAAAACGCCAGAACUAGUCAAGGUCUUCAAGGUCGUUGGAAAAAACUCAAUGCAUCAUUUACUUGUUGGAAAAACGCCAUCUCUCAUGCUUCCGGUAACCUCCGUAGUGGGACAAGUUUAGCGGAUCAGGUGACAAUAUUUUUUAUUUAUUUAUAUGCAUUCCACUCACAUUAAUAUUUUGAUUUAUUUAAUUUCGUAUGUAAUUUUUAUCUUAUUUCUUAUGUAAUUUUUAUUUAAUUUCUUAUGUAAUUUUUAUUUAAUUUCUUAUGUCAUUUUUAUGUAAUUUAUAUGCAUUCCACCCGUAUUAAUAUUUUGAAUUUAUUUAUUUGUGUUACACCCGCAUUUUUUAACACUAUGUUAUCCCACUUUUUUAUAGACACUACAAGCUCAAGCAUUCUACAAUUCAAAGAACGGGAACAAAUCAUUCAAUAGAUUGGAAUGUUGGCAAAUUGUCAAAGAUUGCCCUAAAUACAAAAUUGUGGCAACUGGUCCAGAAGUUGUCAUGCACGGUAUGGGUCUACAUAGUUCUCCAGAACCAGACAUGGCCGAACAAGAAGCCGACACAUUUCAAGACACGGAAGGGACGGCUGAACAAGUGCCCGAGACCCAACCGACUCGUCAGUCCCUAAGGCCUCUAGGUAAAAAGGCGUCAAAGAAAAAAGGUAGUUCUUCCAAAAAAUGACUACACUAAAUAUAUGGAGGAACUUGCUCGCCAAGGUGAACUAAACUUGGCACGAGAAAAGGCUAGAGAUGAGGAAAAAGUUGCUGCUAUGGCAGCAAUAUUAGCAGCUACUGAGGCCCGUGAUGCGGCGGCUGAAAGACAAAGAGAAGUAGUUAAUCGAGAGAACGAGCUGGUUAGAGAAGCACUUCAUCGAGAAAAUGAAUUGCUUCGAGAAGAAAGGAUGGCUCAAGCAUCGUGAUCGUGACACUAUGAGCAAGUCUCUAGUAGGACUGUCUCCGAAUUCUAAAUAUUUUUUAGACAUCGGAAAAAGAGAUGCCAUGCGUAGGAGGCGUGCAAGAGAUGCGGAAACAAGUCAAGGGGGUUCUAGCUACACAAAUCAUGGCAACCAAGAUCCUAGCACCACAUAUCCUAACUCGAGAGACUUUAUUUAAUUUCUUAUGUAUUUUUAUGUAUUUUCUUUCUUUUUUCUAGUAGAACUUUAUUUAAUUUCUUAUGUUUUUUCUUUUUUUUAGGUUUGAACUUUAUUUAUUUUCUUAUGCAAUUUUAAUGUAAUUAUUUAUUUAAUUUCUUUUGUACUUUAUUUAAAACACAUGAAAUAAGAUUACACAUAAACUCACCAAAUAAAUUUAAAAACAAAACACAUUACAUAGAAUUACAUAAACUCACCAAAUAAACUUAAAAACAAAACACACUACAUAGAAUUACAUAAACUCACCAAAUAAACUUAAAAACAAAACACACUACAUAGAAUUACUUAAACUUAAAAAAAAAUACAAUUUAUUCUUCAACCACAAGCCUCAUUCUAAUUAUCUUCGCCUCCAUGCAAUCCCCACUGGUGCUCAAUCAAGUCAUUCUGGCGGGUUACGUGCCAGUAUGGCUCUUGCACAUUAGUGUACCGCUGAACGAUCAAUUCAUUGUAACGUCCAUCACGUUCCAACGGCUCGUGUUGCACUGGAUCUUCGGUCCCAUCAUGAGCACAAUAAAUACGUGUUCUUGAGUUGUUCAUCGGAUCUGGCUCAUAUUCAUCGACGGCAUCAUAAUCAUACUCAUCUUCAACAAUCAUGUUAUGGAGAAUAAUACACGUCAUCAUGAUGGAUCGAAGAGCCUCGACAUCAAACAUUCUAGCUGCAGCCCUGACAAUCGCCCAACGAGCUUGCAGGAUACCAAAACAACGCUCGACAUCCUUCCUACACCCUUCUUGACAUUUUGCAAAGUGUUUUUCCUUUUCAGUCUGUGGAUGUGGCACUGUUUUGACAAAUGUUGACCACCUUGGGUAAAUGCCAUCUGCAAGGUAGUAUGAUCCCUCGUAUUGGGUACCAUUAACCCAAUAUGUGCAUCUCGGCGAGUUUCCUUGCAGCAGUUCGUCGAACACUGGGGAUUGGGCAAGGACAUUUAGGUCAUUUUGAGCUCCUGGAACACCAAAAAAAGCAUGCCAAAUCCAUGUAUCAAAUGAAGCCACCGCUUCCAAAAUGAUGCUUUUGGCUCCUUUUCUGUCGCCAUAUGCUCCUUGCCACGCACUUGGACAGUUUUUUCCAAGUCCAGUGCAUGCAGUCGAUGCUUCCAAUCAUGCCAGGGAAGCCUCGCAUCUCACCCUUCCUCAGAAGCCUUCGCAUGUCCCUUGACGUGGGUGUCCGGAGGUACUCUUUGGUGUAGAGGGCUUCAAUUGCAGAGCAAAACCGCAUCAGGGACUCCAGAACAGUUGUUUUUCCCAUCCUCGCGAUCUCAUCCACUUGAUCUGCAGAUGCUCCAUAUGCAAGCAUUCGCAAGGAUGCCGUAAUUUUUUGCUCGGGAAUAAGACCUAGAACAUGAAAAGCAUCCUCUUUUUGCACAAAGUAUGAAUCAUUGUUGCAAAUAUCACUCAUGAUUUUGUUGAACAAAUGUCGUUGCAUUCUAAAACGCCGUCUAAACAUGAUCAGGGAAUAUGCUAUUGGGAAUAAAAUAGUCUUCCAAUAGAUUUUUACCUCGUUUUUCCCUUUUUCUAUCGAGGUUUGCAACACGUCUUGGUUUGGCUAUCUGACCCACGGCUUCCAUGACACGGCGGGAAUGUGAGGCCUUCUGCCUUCUAUGGUGAUCAUCCUCAUCCUCCUCCAUGAAGAAAGCCUCAUCUCCACCUCCACCUUCCUCGAGAUUGGCCAAUUCUGCCUGUUGUGCCAACAACCUUUGUUGUUGCUCUUGCAACUGCUUAUACACCCUUCUUGAAGAAGACAUUGUAAUAAGAACUCAAGAUUUGAAAAUGAUGAACAAGGAUUCUGAGCUAAAAAGAAGGAUUGAGCUUGGUGUGAGGAUGGAUGUAGGGAUGUAGGGUUUAUAUGGACAAAAAAAGAAAGGAUGAGGUUCUGGACAAUGCCACGUGGCACUACGUGAUUGGUUGAAAAUCUUAUCGAAAUCUUGGCUAAAUUAUUGUAAACCGGAAGUGACACGUGGCGUGUCAGGAUUGGUCGAGAAUAUUAUCGAAAAUCUAUCCACAAAAUAGUACGUUCGGAUAAUGACACGUGGCAUGACGUGAUUGGUUGAAAAUCUUAUCGAAAUCUUGGCUAAAUUAUUGUACCAUGGAAGUGACACGUGGCGUGUCGGGAUUGGUUGAAAAUAAUAUCGGAAAUCUAUUCACAAAAUAGUACGUUCAGAUAAUGACACGUGGCGUGACGAGAUUGGUUAAAAAUCCUAUCCGAAAUUAAAACUAUUUUAUUUUUUUAUUCUUUAUUUUAAAUGGGUUAAAAAUCUUAUCCGAAAUAAACUUAAAAAAAAAACACACCAAAUAAAUGCGCUGGGUGCUAGCGCAUUUUUUUAGGGGUGGAGAUGCCUUGGCCUAUUACUGUUCACUCCAGUCUAUUACUGUUCAUUUGAGUGGAUAAAUGCGCUGGGUGCUGGCGCAAAGUCCACAGGGGUGGAAUUGCUCUAAAGUCUCGUGUUUUGAUGAGAUGUGGUCUACAAAUGAUAUAGCAUGUGCCCUACGAAAAAUGAGAUCGGAUUACCUAUUUGAAGCUUCUCUAGUAUGAAAAAUUCAAGAGGGAUGUGACGGGUCCGGAAAAUAAAAAAUCACACAUUUUUAUUAAUAAUUUUUUUGUUCGAAUUCGGAAAUGUAUAGAACUGAACAAAUGGAAUAGUAGCUCAGUGAUACCAACAAUUUCAUGUUGCAAAUCACAAAACAAAAAAAAAGGAACUGUUUUACACAAAAUUAAUGACAAUUAGAGUUGAACAACAGAAGCUUGCACUUUAAACGGUUUUUUUCUGCUGCUUUUGGUAUGUAUAUGCUUUUUCCAUGUCUCGAUGUAGUGCCAGUUCACAGGUCAUCAUCCUGGAACAAUGCUUUCGAAACAGAGCCGCACGGCUGGCUACUGUAUUCUCGGUAAUCUUCAUCGUCAUCCCAGCUGCGUUGCGAGCAUGAACGUUUGAUUCCUGUCAUUGGGGUUUCACAUACUCUGUCAUCACAUGAACCUCUAUGAUCCUUCCUUUUAAACAGCUUUCGAAGCGGAUUUAACUUUGGUUUCAAUGGUUUCAGCUGUUUUGGGGCCCAAACUCUCUGCAGAUCGGGCAUCCAUCUUGUGGAUGAAGCGAAUCUCCAAGCCCUCUCUCUCCUCUCUUGAGCUUCAAGUAACUUGCGAGCAUGGUCGUCGUUUUGUUUGAUCUCUUCAGCGCUCGGUCUUCCAAUAUCAGUUUUCAGCGGACGAAGAGACUCACCUUCUGCUGAUAAUGAGUCCCAGAUUCUAUAACUUUCAUCCACUUCGACACUCUUUGGUUUUUCUUUACAGGAUUGAUUGCUAUCCUCACUGUUGAGUAAACUAAUAGGGAGUUCUUCCUCAUCGGCAAACAGUAGCAAAUCCAUUUUUGUAUAGAUUUUGUGAACCACAUCUUCAAGUGUCUCACAGUACCUGAAAAUGUCCAAAUUCAAAGAUUAAUCUACCUGCUUAAUUCUCCAUCUCAAACAAAAAUUGAUCACCUGCAUUUGUACAUCAGGAAACUAAAUGCAGGAAUGAAUUAUUUAAGCUCCAUCAUUUCAAGGAUCAUACCGUAGGCUAAUAUGCUAUUGCAGAAGUUGUAUAAACAUAUUCCUCACUCGUUCAGAAAAACAUGCCUACGAUGUGCGGAUAACUGGCUUAUACCCUGUAAAUCUACACUAAUAAGGAAACACACUUAACUCAUCUAAGAUUAUAAAGAUAAUCACUUUCCUUUUUUAGCAUUAUUGCAAAGGUAAGUAGGAGAGCAUUGGAUGGGCAGUAAUAUCCCACAGGAAAGUGGAAACAGUGGCACCGGAAAUGUGUAUUUGAUGAGACAUGAACGGUAGACUGAAUGAGUGUCGAGAAAGCCAUAACGACUCGGUAAAACAUCCAUUAUAUAAAGUAAAGAAUAAUGCGAAAGGCAGGGGUUUUCAACUCUGGUACAGAUUUAUUACCUGCUUUUUAUGAUCCUUUCAACAUAAUCAUCUACACUCCAGUCACCAAAGAAGCCCUCCAGAUGACAUCGAAUUUUCUCCAAAAACGAGCAAAUCUGUUUUACAAACUUCUGUUUCAUAGAUUCUGCAAUACUUGCACCAACCUCUGAUUGUAGUAUCUCCAUACGGAAAAAUAUCUGCAAUUCAUAUCUAGUACUAGGUGAAGGAAAAGUGUAAAUGUAAUUGGAGACAAAUUUUCAUAUUGGUAGAGUUAUAACUGGAUUAAUGCAUAAUACAGAAGACAGUUCAGUUAUAAAUGAGAAAGGAUACUCUCGAACUAUUUUUCCAGAAGUCAGUCCUUCAGAUUCUGAAUCGGAUGCUUUAACAAACGGGCCGGAGCUUUUCUGCCUUGCAGUGAUAUCCUUGGGAUCUCUCAGUAGAAGUUUUAACACCUCAGCAGAAACCAAAUCAUCAGUAGCACCAGAUUUUACAAGGGAAGUUUGACUCUCUGAAAGGGCUUCUGUUUCCUGCUUUUUAUUUAACCAAUAUAUGGAUGAAUUCACAAGCCGAUAUGCCAAUGCCCCCAAGUCUACUGCUUCAUAUUCAAGCCCCUGUUGUAUCUUGUUGGAUAGACUACUGAAAAAAUCUUCCGACGUUUCUGAUCUAAAUUCCAAAGCAGCUUCAUCUUGUAUGCCAGAAGCCACAGUCAAAGAAUUUUCUCCAAUGGAAGGAGAUGAAGAAAUUGGCUGUUCACUUUCAUGGUGCAAGUUAUCCAACCUAUUGUCCAUCCCUUUUCUAUUGAGCUGGUCUGCCUGGGAUUCUUUCUCCACUAUUAGACCACGAUCGCUAGACUUCUUAAUUUGUUUCAUCCAGCAUUUCAGAAAUCGUAUCUUUUUUGAGUUAUAACAUUCCCUGGCAAAGUAAACCUCUUCCAAACCUAUCUCUGAGUGUUCAAAUGCUGCCUUGUAGAAGGCACUCCAUGUGAGAUCUUGUAGCAACUGUGAAUUUCUUUUGUUAUUUCUCUUCCUUCCCUCCUUGCCUGCAGAAUGCUUAUUGGAUGGCCCAGUUUGGUCCAAAUCAGCAUUCGGUUCGCAAAUCCCAUUCUUCAUAUUUCGACUUGAUUGGUCUGCUUUUGCUCCACCAAUAUCAUGCACUUUUGUCUGAGGGUGAAAUCCUUCAUCCACAAUAAACAGCCGAGCCGAAGAAACUGUGAAAGGUUUGAGAAUUCCGGUAGACGAUACACCACUGUCACUUGAAAGAGACACUAAUGCUCCAUGACCAUUCCUAUAUAAGAAACUCAAGAGAAUCUGCCAAAUGGGUGCUGACUUUCUCUUUGCAUUCUCACCCAAGUCCACUGCUACCACUUCUAGAACCUUAUCUGCAUAAUAAUUGCCAGAACUUUCUUUUCCAUCUUCACCAGGUUUUCCCAAAACAUCACAGACAAGGACUGGAUCAGAUAAGUGCCCCUUGAAUUUCAGAAACUCAUUGUACUUUUGCAAAGCCUUAACCUGGAACUUUGUCACGCCUUUGACAAAAUACCCCCAGAACAAUUCCUUCAGUUUACCACCCUUUGUUUGUGAAUUCAUGAUUUCUAGGGAAAAGAAAGCAUCAUCAGCUGCAUUUCUAGGCAACUUCUUCAAAUCAACCAAUUGAAGAUCACAAACCUUGCAUUCCAAAGGCUUCCCACUUACAUCUAAGAUCUCGAGACUCAACUGCGCAUUGACUUUCUUAUGACUAUCAUCACAACCGAAAAACUUGGAUGAAAUCCCUAUCUCGGGAUAAAUCAAACCAAAGGAAACAAGAGCAGAGCCAAGAAUAAUCCAACCAGUCGAGCAAAAUCCCCAUCCCAAACUCCUAACCCCACUCUCGAAAAACCCAAAUCUCGUCUUAUCCUCAUCGUUCCCAACCUUACCCUCACCACAUUCUAAUUCAUACCUGACAUCAACCCAGCUACACUGAAUAUCUCUACUCACAAAUGCUUCAUUCACAUUCUCAAAGAAACCCCUAAAUCUCUCGGAAAACGCUUUCACAUUUUCCAAAGACUCGUCACCCACACCCACUGUUAGGUCACAACUUCUAAAUUCCCUUUCUCGACCUGCUAGUAGCUGAUAGUAAUGGCGGUGAGUGAGUGGGAAGGAAGAUAGAGAGAGAUAGAAAGUUUCUUGUAAUAUUGUUUUUCUAAUUCAAUCCUGCAGAACAAUGCCACAAUUUGGUUCUUAUACAACCAUCCUUCUCACAAUGCCAGCUGGCUACUAACAAUAACGACAUGUAGCUAAAUAGUUUUCCACUAUUAUUCUAACCACUAUUAUAAUCAUAACACUACCCCUCCCUUACAAAAUAAACCUUGUCCUCAAGGUUAGAAUUAAAGACUGAAAUCAGGAAAUCUGGCAGCAAACUCGUCAUAAUCCUCCCAUGUAGUUUCGUCCUCUUUGUUGUUCUUCCACUGGAUUAACAACUGAACUCCAGCAGCUUGGCCCUUCUUGUAGACCCUCAUUUGUAGCACCUUGAGUGGUUCGAGUGGUAGCAACCCAUCAUCAGUGACAGUAGGCAAGAAUGGAGUUAUGUGACCUUGUCUCCCAAGUGCUUCUUCAAGCAACUAACAUGAAAGACUGGAUGAAUUUUUGAAUUCUCAGGCAGUUUCAAUCGGUAGGCAACCUUCCCAAUAUUUUCCAAAACCUCAUAAGGACCAUAGUACCGGGGAUGAAGCUUAUGGUAAGCAUGAGAUGACAAAGAUUGCAAUUGAUAGGGAAUUAAUUUCAAAUACACCAAAUCUCCUUCCUCGAAAACCCUCUCACUCCGAUGCUUAUCUGCUUGUGUUUUCAUCCGGUUCUGAGCUACUAGUAAAUUGGUCCUGAGCAUUGCUAAUAUUUUGUCCCUAGUUAGCAGCCCUUGCUCCACUAUAUCCAACUUAGCAGUGCCAAGCUCAUAAGACGCGAUGUGUGGUGGUGGAUAACCAUAGACCACUUCGAAGGGGGUGAACUUUGAGGAAGUGUGGUAGGAAGUGUUAUAGCUCCAUUCUGCCCAUGGAAGCCAGUGGAGCCACUUCUUAGGUUGACAGCUAGUGAAGCAUCGCAAGUAAGUUUCAAGGCACCGAUUCACCACCUCUGUCUGGCCAUCACUCUGUGGAUGGUAACCCGAGCUCAUACACAACUUGGAGCCUUGCAACUUAAAAAAAUUCUUUCCAAAAAACACUCAUGAAAAUGGUGUCCCUGUCACUCACAAUGGUAGAGGGCAUCCCAUGGAGUUUAAACACAUUAUCAACAUAUUCCUGAGCUACCAUGCUUGCCGUAUACGGAUGUGCUAAGGGGAUGAAAUGAGCAUACUUGGACAGCCUGUCUACGAUUACCAGGAUCACUGAUUUGCCUUUGCACAGAGGUAAACCAGUGAUGAAAUCCAUGCUUAUAUCCUUCCAUACAUGUGUAGGGAUCGGCAGAGGUUGAAGUAAUCCGGGAGGGGAAAUGGUUUCAUACUUAUUUUGCUGGCAUUCCCGACAUUCAGCCACCCAUGACCUGAGAUCUUUCUUCAUUCCUACCCAAUAGAAGCCCCUCUUCAAUAUCUGAUAAGUCUUUAGAACCCCUUUCAUGGCCUGCACUUGGAGAAGAGUGAUGUUCCUCAAAGACCUUCCUUUUCCAACUUGAAUCUGGGCUAAGCACGAUCCGUCCUUUGUAUUUGAGGAAACCGUUGUCUAAAUGGUACUUGGACAGAUUGGGGUCAAUUGCAGCAGCUUAAGAAUAUGCUAACACCUUCUGCACCUUGCUUUGAAUCCAACUAUCUUGUUCUAACCCUCUCCGAAGUUCAUCUAGCCACCCGAAGUAGGGGUAUGUGAUAGCUUUGCACUCCAAUAAGUCACUGAGAGGUUUCUCUUGUAAUUGAGACGAACCAACUACUCGAGAUAAGGCAUCAGCCAUUAUGUUGUCAUUGCCUUGCCUAUAUUGUAUCUCAUAAUCAAAUCCCAACAACUUGGCCACCCAUUUCUGUUGGAACGGGGUAGUAGUUCUUUGACUCAGAAAGUAUUUCAAGCUGCUAUGAUCUGUCUUUAUGAUGAAAUGGCGCCCUUGAAGGUAGUUUUGCCAUUUUUUGAUAGCACUAACAAUGGCAAUCAACUCUCUUUCGUAUGUAGACAAUGCUUAAUUCCGUGGUCCCAAUGCUUGACUUGUGAAAGCUAUAGGUCUGCCAUUCUGUUGCAACACAGCCCCUAUUCCAUUGCCAGAUGCAUCACAUUCCAAAGUGAAGGGAAUAGCAAAAUUGGGUAAGGCUAAUAGCUGCGGAGAAGUCAUUGUUCUUUUUAAUGCUUGGAAAGCUGCCGUGGCUUCAGGGGACCAAUUGAAACCAUCAUUUUUUGUUAGUUGAUACAAGGGUUGACACACCUUGCCAUAACCGGGGAUGAAUUUUCUAUAAUACCCUGAGAGCCCGAGAAAUCCCCUCAACUCUUUGACAUUUUUCGGUAUCGGCCAAUCUAUAAUUGCUUGAAUUUUAGUAGGAUCUGCAGCCACCCCAUCACGAGAGACGAUGUGCCCCAAGUAUUCCACCUGUGAUUGGCCAAAAGAGCAUUUCGAUUUCUUCACUGCUAAUUGGUGUUUCUGUAAUAACUCCAAAGUUUGGUGCAAGUGUGAAAGAUGGUCCUCCCAGGUCUUGCUGUACACCAAAAUGUCGUCAAAGAACACCAAGAUGAAUUUCCGGAGGUAAGGCUUAAAAAUGUCAUUCAUAAGGGCUUGGAAAGUGGCAGGAGCAUUUGUAAGACCAAAGGGCAUGACUAAGAAUUCAUAAUGCCCUUGGUGAGUUCGGAAGGCAGUCUUUUCCACAUCGGAGGGACAUACGGAUCUGAUGAUAUCCAGACCUAAGAUCAAGCUUAGAAAAAUACUGAGCGCCAUGCAAUUCAUCUAACAAAUCAUCCACUAAUGGAAUAGGAUAUUUAUCCUUAAUGGUAAUGCUGUUCAAUUCACGAUAGUCCAUGCAAAGCCUCCAAGUGCCCUCCUUCUUCUUGACCAAGAGAACUGGAAAUGAAAAGGGACUAUGACUUGGCUGGAUGAAUCCAGCAUCUAAAAGUUCUUGCACAGCUCGUUCAAUCUCAGUUUUUUGCAUAGGACCAUAAUGGUAUGGUCUAAUACUCGGAGGCUUGGAACCAGGAAGCAAUGGAAUCUGGUGAUCAUGAGCCCGUGGAGGUGGUAAGGUAGUAGGAGGCUUAAAAACCGUUUCAAAUUGCCUGAGCAUACCCUGCAGCUCAAUGAGUUGCUGGGGAUUCAAGUUGGAUGCCUCCAACGGAUUAGUUUCCAUUGAAUACAAUAAGACGCCCCAAUUAGAGUAUUUAAACUCUUUUUCAAGCUGUUGACAAACAGUAUCCUGUACCAAGUACGCUGGAGCAGUGGAAUGAACAAGUUUAUAGUGGUCUUUUCCCACAGAAAAUUCCAUGGUUAAGUUGUGAAAAUCCCACAAAACUGGACUCACAGAUGAGAGCCAUUUCACACCCAAUACAACAUCGCAACCCCCUAGAGGAAGUGCGUAGAGGUUAGUGUGGCAGCGAUAUGCACCCAAUUCCAAGGGAAUUUGUUGGCAACAGCCUUGACUUCGGACUUUACCCCCAUCGGCAAUCAUGACAUCGAAGGGUUUGGUGGUGUGACAAGGCCACCCGAGCUGCUUAAGCAACCUAGAAUCCACAAAAUUGUGGGUGCUACCAGAGUCAAGUAGUAUGGUAACAGGUAGAGUGUGAAGCACACCAGCCACUUUCAUGGUUUGUACCGUGGAGGGCUCAGUAGUGCCAUAGAACGCACAAGCACUCAACUCCAUGCUUGAUAGGGAAAGAUCAAUAGGCUCCAGUAAUUCACACUCUGUAGGUUCCAGCAAUUCACACUCGGUAGGCUCCAACUCAUUACAAACAUCAAGCAUAAGGAGCUGUUUAUUAUGGACACAUUUGUGCCCUCGAACCCACUUUUCAUUACAGAACCAACACUCGCCCUUGUCCUUCUUCCGUUGAACUUCCUCGGGGGUAAGUUUCUUAUAAGGGAGGGUUUGAGGAUGAGGCCUGGUAAGGGAAGGUAGAGGUAAGGCGAGAGGAGGUUUGAGUGGGGGAUGAGGUUUUGGGGGAGAUGGUUUCAAGUCCGUGAGUUUAGCAUUUAAUUGGGCAGCAAAGGAAAUGGCCUCAUGAACUGAGGAAGGGCGAAGCAAUUUAACAUCGUAACGCAAUUCCUUCUUGAGACCCCCCAGAAAGCAACUCUUUAAGAGAAUAGGACCAACAUCAUAGGUUCGAGUGGCAAGGCGCCGAAAUUCCACAAUAUAAUCACGAAGAGGGCCGGUUUGGCGGAGUUUGAAUAGCGACUCAGUGCAGUCCUCAAACUCCGGUGGACCAAAUUCCUGGCACAAAGCAGUCGUGAAUUCACCCCAGGUGGGAGUGGAAUGUACACAAUCGCGCCAACGAAACCAGUACAGCGGCUCAUUCUUGAAGUGGAAGGAGGCGGUCAAAACCUUCUGAUUCUCCGGAGUGUGAUAAUAAGCAAAAUAUUGUUCGGCCUUAUAGAUCCACGCUGAGGGAUCAUCACCGUCGGAGAAACGGGGAAAAUCCAGACGAUGUGACCGCUGCGGGCGAGGAGUAAAACCGCCGCCUUCAAAAGAAUCACGGCGCUGAAACCGUGGAGUGUCGAGACAACGAAAAUCGCCAUCAUCGGUCACAAUGGGAGGAGGAAUAUGUGGAUCUGGCACUAGAGGUGGUGGUGCAGUCGAAGAGCCAGCACCGCCUUGAGGACCAGGGUCGCGAUGGAGAUGCUCCAGGAGAAGGGCGAAUUUGGUUUCGAGAGCGGUGAAGCGGGUGUCGGAAUUGGCGUUGGAAGUCUGGAUCAGCUGAGGAAUGGCUCCCAUGGCUUCCAGAGUAGCUUCCACGGCGGAGAGGCGCGAUUCAACAGUGGACAUUCGAGAAUUUGUGGUGUGGCGGGGCAUACAAGAGGGAGACUCAGGAUCGAGAGGCUGAUACCAAUUGUUAGGUCAAAACUUCUAAAUUCCCUUUCUCGACCUGCUAGUAGCUGAUAGUAAUGGCGGUGAGUGAGUGGGAAGGAAAAUAGAGAGAGAUAGAAAGUUUCUUGUAAUAUUGUUUUUCUAAUUCAAUCCUGCAGAACAAUGCCACAAUUUGGUUCUUAUACAACCAUCCUUCUCACAAUGCCAGCUGGCUACUAACAAUAACGACAUGUAGCUAAAUAGUUUUCCACUAUUAUUCUAACCACUAUUAUAAUCAUAACACCCACAUUCGGGAAUUCUGUCAAACAGUUUGCAGACACACAGACGGGCGAAAACAGAACUACCAAAUUAGACCUCACAGCAACCGAAUCACUAUUCGAGAACAUACCCAUCAUUGGAUCGCAGAUCACGGGGUCCCAGGCGUAGUCGUGCACGAGCUGGCGCAAGGAGACGGCGAAAUGCGGGGAGGGAAUUGAGGGUGUGGAAGAGGGAAUUGAAAGUGGGGCCGGGGAGGUGGAAAGAGAGGGAGAGAGAAGUGGGGAGCUUGGAGGAGGAGAGCAGCGGAGAGAGGGAGGAGAAGAAGGGUCUGAAGGCGAAGAGAGAGGCGGAGAGAAGAAGGAAGGAGAGGAUGGUUUUGACGGCGGCGAGGAGGGCGGUGAGAAAUGGAGCUGGGUUUUGGAGGUGGAGGAAUGGGUUGAGGUCUAGGAGGAGGACGAUGCGCACAGUGCCUGCCUAUCAUGUAAAACCAUUGACAAUGAUACAAGACAGUUUAUUUGGACCUAUAAAACUAUAUUUAUGUAAAACUAUAUUUUAUUCAAUUUCAAAAAUUAGUACAUGCAAUGACAUGUUUGAUCGUAAAAAAAAAAAAAAUGAGAAAUUUUCAGUGUAUCAGAAAUACGAAUCGGUAAAAAAUCUCUCCAAAAAUACAUAUGCAUGUUUUAUUCAAAAGGAAAGGAAUGAGGCGCCAUCAUCCCUAACACACUUUAUUACAAGUAGUAUCAUCCAUUGAGGCAGAGAAGUUAAUUAGAUGCUGUCCUUAAUGGAUGCACUAUAACCGUUGUCAUAGAACCUGUUCCAAAGCAUAACUCCUCCGUACUUGGCCGAAUUCUUAAUUGUUGGAAGGACUUGUGACUUGAGAGCAUCAGCAGGAAUAAAUCCGCUGCGCGCGGCAUCAGUAGACGCCGGUAUCCCCAAGAACACCUGGGUGGCCGAAACCGAGGCCCAUCGGUUCCAACUGCUCAAAAGAGCGUCGGCAUUACCGUCUGCAUACUGGCAUUGGGCUAGGGGGUUGUUGUAGAACUGAACCCAAACGUAGUCAAAUAAACCGGUUGGAUAGCGCCGUCUAGGUGAGUAUCCGGGAACGGGCAUUGUGGAGCUGCGGCUAAAUAGACCGUUUUUCCCUGUCCGUUGUGUCCUUUGAGUGACCUGGCGAGCUCGUCGUAGAACUGCGUACCACCCAACUCAAUGUCGAAAUCGACGCCGUCCAAAACCGCGUCCCCAAGCGGGCGCGAAUCUGACUGACCACCUAGGAAGUUGUUCCAGAUGUAAUCAGCAACUUGCCUUGCCUCAUCAGCUGAAGUGAGAGAGUAAGUUUCGGUGGCCCCUCCAAUCGAGAGGAGGACUUUUAUGUUUUUUGAUUGGCAGGUUCUGAUGUCGGCACUCUGCCCCGUGCAAGUACCACUAGCGGGGUUGCAGUGGCCGGCGAGGUUUAGGACAGGGGCUUGGUUGUUUCCAAAAGUUGAGAGGAAAGCUAUGUUAACAAACUGGUAGUUGCCCGAGUUGCAAGCUUCUGCUAGGGUUCCUUCGUUGCCGUUUUGGCCCCAAUACGUCGCGAUUCCGGCGGCUUGGGAGGACUUGCAUGAAGAAAUGAGGAUCAAGAGGGACAGAGUUAGGGCUAGGGUUUGUGUUUUGGAUGCCAUUUUUGUAUGUGUUUUUUUGGGUUGUUGCUCAAAGUGCUUGGGAGGGGACAUGUAAUUAUAGGUGCAGGAGACUUACUGGUUAAGGUUUGGGGGAAGAAAAGUAUGACAGACGUGUUCUGCAGGUAAGAAAUGGGUGCCAGUCUUCCUCUUGCAACCGCGUCAAUCGAGUUAGCUGGGGCCUGUUUAGUCCAAGUCUUCCAUAAAACGCCGAUUAAGUUAGGUUGUGUUGAAAAUGCUUUCUUCAAAAAACACUUACACACGUAAGCGCUUCUUAUAUUUUUCAUAAGAAUGCAGGUGCUUUUGAAUAAAACACUUAAAGUAUUCAUCAAUUCCUCCCUUGAACUUGUGAUCAUUGGCCAAUUUCACCCCUCAACUUUAAUUUUGGCCAAUUUCCCCCCUCAACUCUCAUAAUUAGUCAAUUUGCACUCUACUGUUAAUUUUCCAUCUAUUCUUUUUUUUUUUCUUUCAAUCUUUCUAAUAACUUCCAACAAAGUACUAAAAUUAACAUAAACUCACCUGCAUAAUAUAGGGUAAAAUGUACAAAAACAUAAUACAAUUAGUAUGUGAUAUGGGUUGAUUAUAAAAAAAAUGUUAUGAAUCGGGUUUAAAGCAUGUAGAAGAAGAAAUAAUAAUCCUAAACUCAUGGAUCAGACCUAUUUCAAUAAAAUGUGUUAUUCUUAAUAAGGAAUCGAAAAUUAUGAAUUGACUAGUCAUUUUUGCACUAAAGCUCGAUUCUCCACAAUUUACUUGAACUUAGCUUUCACUUUUAUAAAGAAAAUUGUAUUCACAUACAAAAAUGUACACAUCAAUCCUUUUCGUUAUCAAUUUUGUAUAGUAAAAAAUCAAAUAAAAUUACUCCAUACUGAUUUAUUAUGACUAAUAAUACUAUCUAUGAUAAAUUGUAAAAUUCUAAAUUUUAAUCUAGUUGUAAUAGGAUAAAGACAUAGGAAAAUGAUUAACAUACAUCUUAUUUAGUUUCUUACACACACUUGUUUACUUAUGAUCAAAUUAAAAAAUUAACAGUAGGGUGCAAAUUGACUAAUUAUGAGAGUUGAGGGGGGAAAUUGACUAAUUAUGAGAGUUGAGGGGGGAAAUUGGCCAAAAUUAAAGUUGAGGGGGGAAAUUGGCCAAUAGUUACAAGUUCAGGGGAGAAAUUGAUGAAUACCUCAAACACUUAAGGUGUUUCGCAUGUGCGCUUUUUUUUUCAAAAAGAAUUUUAAAUGUUUUUUCAACCUAAAAAUCCAUUAAAGCUCCUUUACUUGUUUUAAAGGCACUUCCAAAAUAAUAUUUAAAGAAAAAUUACUUCUAGAGAGAAUUAUAACAUGCUAAUUGAGAGAUCCCAAAUUUAGAAACUAGAUAGUUAUGAAGUGUGACCUUAACUGCAUAAUUAGGUGAAAAAAGCCAUCAAAUUUGACAAAAAGUCUGAUGAAAGGUCAUAGCUGUAUGCAUAGUCCGUAGAUGAGAUAAUCAUGAAACAAUACGUGGGGAAUCAACGCAUCCUCAUCAUUGUCAAAAUAAAUCAGUGUUCCAGAAACACGACCCGAUAUACAAAGUGUUUUAACAUCAAUUGAACGUUUUGGAAGUUUGUGGAUAGAAACCAAAUGGAAUAUGCUUGUAACCAAAAUUGCUGGCUGCUAUAUACAUCUUGGAUUUUAGCUGAGGUGGCCAUUGGCCAAGGACUUUGGUCUAAUCACGAUGCUUUAAUUUCGCAAUCCAAAAAAAAAAUUCAGAUAAAAUUUAGAACACGUUUUGGGAGUGUUUUCAAAUUACUGAAAGCGAUUUUAGAAAGAAAAAAAAUGUUUAUAUAACUAAUCUUUAAUAAAAAUGCAAGUUAAUCCUCCAAAAGUACUGAAACUAGUGCUUCUUUGAUAAAACACUUCAAGUGCUUUUGGAGCUCAAAAAUAUUAUCUCAAGUGGUUUCAGUCGUUUAAAAACACUUUCUAAACUAGUUAAUGACUCGUGUAUGGGGCAACAUUUAGCAAGUAACAGCUCUCAUGAAUUGGAUCGUGGUGAUGUGAAAAUGGGUUUGGGUAAGUUUAGUUUAGACCAGUCACCAGUGUAUAAAAUAUCCACGGCAUUGUCGAUAUUUUCGUCGAAAUAUCCUUAAAAUUAAGGGUCCAUAAGGAAAAGAUGGGUGAAAUGCAAAUUUCACCCUAUAUCGGCGAUCUAUAAGAAAACAAUGAAUAUCGACAAUAUUUACCGAUUAACUACAAAAUUUUGCUGAAACCUAUUGCAGAUUUCGAACUUUAGAAUUUUUUUUUAUAAAUUUUUUCUUUAAUUUCGACUAAAUCUGAAUGAGUUGAUACUUAAUAUGCUUAUCCCAUUGUAAAUUUCCAUUGAAGACUUUCCAUCUAUAUCAAUAUUUUAAACAUUGGUUUAGACCCACAUGUUUAAUAUCGAGUGCAUGCAAAUAGAAUGUCAAAUCUUUCGGAAAAACUUCAAUAGGACUGCCACUUAAGGGCAACUAGAUUAUUAAAGAGACGAAUGCAAGGUUGGAUGAGACUAAUAUACAUAAAGUCUCGUGUUUUGGUGAGAUGUGGUCUACAAAUGAUAUAGCAUGUGCCCUACGAAAAACAAGAUCAGAUUACCUAUUUGAAGUUUCUCUAGUAUGAAAAAUUCAAGAGGGAUGUGACGGUUCCGGAAAAUAAAAAAAUCACACAUUUUUAUUAAUAAUUUUUUUGUUCGAAUUCGGAAAUGUUUAGAACUGAACUAAUGGAAUAGUAGCUCAGUGAUACCAACAAUUUCAUGCUGCAAAUCAUAAAAAAUGGAACUGUUUUACAUAAAAAUUAAUGACAAUUAGAGUUAAACAACAGAAGCUUGCACUUCAAAUGGUUUUUUUCUGCUGCUUUUGGUAUGCAUAUGCUUUUUCCAUGUCUCGAUGUAGUUCCAGUUCACUGGUCAUCAUCCUGGAACAAUGCUUUCGAAACAGAGCCGCACGGCUGGCUACUGUAUUCUCGGUAAUCUUCAUCGUCAUCCCAGCUGCGUUGCGAGCAUGAACGUUUGAUUCCUGUCAUUGGGGUUUCACAUACUCUGUCAUCACAUGAACCUCUACGAUCCUUCCUUUUAAACAGCUUUCGAAGCGGAUUUGACUUUGGUUUCAAUGGUUUCAGCUGUUUUGGGGCCCAAACUCUCUGCAAAUCAGGCAUCCAUCUUGUGGAUGAAGCGAAUCUCCGAGCCCUCUCUCUCCUCUCUUGAGCUUCAAGUAACUUGCGAGCAUGGUCGUCAUUUUGUUUGAUCUCUUCAGCGCUCGGUCUUCCAAUAUCAGUUUUCAGCGGACGAAGAGACUCACCUUCUGCUGAUAAUGAGUCCCAGAUUCUAUAACUUUCAUCCACUUCGACACUCUUUGGUUUUUCUUUACAGGAUCGAUUGCUAUCCUCACUGUUGAGUAAACUAUUAGGGAGUUCUUCCUCAUCGGCAAACAGUAGCAAAUCCAUUUUUGUAUAGAUUUUGUGAACCACAUCUUCAAGUGUCUCACAGUACCUGAAAAUGUCCAAAUUCAAAGAUUAUUCUAUCUGCUUAAUUUUCCAUCUCAAACAAAAAUUGAUCACCUGCACUUGUAUUUCGGGAAACUAAUUGCAGGAAUGAAUUAUUUAAGCUCCAUCGUUUCAAGGAUCAUACCGUAGGCUAAUAUGCUAUGCAGAAGUUGUAUAAACAUAUUCCUCACUCGUUCAGAAAAACAAUGUUACAAUGUGCGUAUAACUGGCCUAUAUCCUGUAAAUCUACACUAAUAAGGAAACACACUUAACUCAUCUAAGAUUAUAAAGAUAAUCACUUUCCUUUUUUAGCAUUAUUGCAAAGGUAAGUAGGAGAACAGUGGCACCGGAAAUGUGUAUUUGAUGAGACAUGAACGGUAGACUGAAUGAGUGUGGAGAAAGCCACAAUGCCUCAGUAAAACAUCCAUUAUAUAAAGUAAAGAAUAAUACGAAAGGCAGGGGUUUUCAACUCUGAUAUUUAUUACCUGCUUUUUAUGAUCUUUUCAACAUAAUCAUCUACACUCCAGUCACCAAAGAAGCCCUCCAGAUGACAUCGAAUUUUCUCCAAACAAGAGCAAAUCUGUUUUACAAACUUCUGUUUCAUAGAUUCUGCAAUACUUGCACCAACCUCUGAUUGUAGUAUCUCCAUCCGGAAAAAUAUCUGCAAUUCAUAUCUAGUACUAGGUGAAGGAAAAGUGUAAAUGUAAUUGGAGACAAAUUUUCAUAUUAGUAGAGUUAUAACUGGAUUAAUGCAUAAUACAGAAGACAGUUAAGUUAUAAAUGAGAAAGGAUACUCUCGAACUAAUUUUCCAGAAGUCAGUCCUUCGGAUUGUGAAUCAGAUGCUUUAACAGACGGGUCGGAGCUUUUCUGCCUUGCAGUGAUAUCCUUGGGAUCUCUCAGUAGAAGUUUUAACACCUCAGAAGCAACCAAAUCAUCAGUAGCACCAGAUUUUACAAGGGAAGUUUGACUCUCUGAAAGGGUUUCUGUUUCCCACUUUUUAUUUAACCAAUAUAUGGAUGAAUUCACAAGCCGAUAGGCCAAGGCCCCCAAGUCUACUGCUUCAUAUUCAAGCCCCUGUUGUAUCUUGUUGGAUAGACUACUGAAAAAAGCUUCUGACGUUUCUGAUCUACAUUCCAAAGCGGCUUCAUCUUGUAUGCCAGAAGCCACAGUCAAAGAAUUUUCUCCAAUUGAAGGAGAUGAAGAAAUUGGCUGUUCACUUUCAUGGUGCAAGUUAUCCAACCUAUUGUCCAUCCCUUUUCUAUUGAGCUGGUCUGCCUGGGAUUCUUUCUCCACUAUUAGACCACGAUCGCUAGACUUCUUAAUCUGUUUCAUCCAGCAUUUCAGAAAUCGCAUCUUUUUUGAGUUAUAACAUUCCCUGGCAAAGUAAACCUCUUCCAAACCUAUCUCUGAGUGUUCAAAUGCUGCCUUGCAGAAGGCACUCCAUGUGAGAUCUUGUAGCAACUGUGAAUUUCUUUUGCUAUUUCUCUUCCUUCCCUCCUUCCCUGCAGAAUGCUUAUUGGAUGGCCCAGUCUGGUCCAAAUCAGCAUUCGGUUUGCAAAUCCCAUUCUUCAUAUUUCGACUUAAUUGGUCUGCUUUUGUCUGAGGGUGAAAUCCUUCAUCCACAAUAAACAGCAGAGCCGAAGAAACUGUGAAAGGUUUGAGGAUUCCCGUAGACAAUACACCAGUGUCACUUGAAAGGGACACUAAUGCUCCUUGACCAUUCCUAUAUAAGAAACUCAAGAGAAUCUGCCAAAUGGGCGCUGAUUUUCUCUUCGCAUUCUCUCCCAAGUCCGCUUCUAGCAUUUCUAGAACCUUAUCUGCAUAAUAAUUGCCAGAACCUUCUUUUCCAUCUUCACCAGGUUUAACCGAAACAUCACAGACAAGGAGAGGAUCAGAUAAGUGGCCCUUGAAAUUCGAAAACUCAUUGUACUUUUGCAAAGCCUUAACCUGGAACUUUGUCAUGCCUUUGCCGAAAUUCCCCCAGAACAAUUCUUUCAGUUUACCACCUUUUGUUUGUGAAUUUAGGAUUUCUAGGGAAAAGAAAGCAUCAUCAGCUGCAUUUCUAGGCAACAUCUUCAAAUCAACCAAUUGAAGAUCACAAACCUUGCAUUCCAAAGGCUUCCCACUUACAUCUAAGAUCUCGAGACUCAACUGCGCAUUGACUUUCUUAUGACUAUCAUCACAACCGAAAAACUUGGAUGAAAUCCCAAUCUCGGGAUAAAUCAAACCAAAAGGAACAAGAGCAGAACCAAGAACAAUCGAACCAGUGGAGCAAAAUCCCCAUCCCAAACUCCUAACCUCACUCUCAAAAAACCCAAAUCUCGUCUCAUCCUCAUCGUUCCCAACCUUACCCUCACCACAUUCUAAUUCAUACCUGACAUCAACCCAGCUACACUGAAUAUCUCUACUCACAAAUGCAUCAUUCACAUUCUCAAAGAAACCCCGAAAUCUCUCAGAAAACGCAUUCACAUUUUCCAAAGACUCGUCACCCACACCCACAUUCAGGAAUUCUGUCAAACAGUUUGCAGACACAGAGACGGGCGAAAACAGAACUACCAAAUUAGACCUCACAGCAACCGAAUCACGAUUCGAGAACAUACCCGUCAUUGGAUCGCAGAUCACGGGGUCCCAGGCGUAGUCGUGCACGAGCUGGCGCAAGGAGGCGGCGAAGCACGAAGCCCGGGGCAGCGAUGCCGGAUCGCGGCGAAAUGCGGGGAGGGAAUUGAGGGUGUGGGAGAGGGAAUUGAAAGUGGGGCCGGGGAGGUGGAAAGAGAGGGAGAGAGAAGUGGGGAGCUUGGAGGAUGAGAGCAGCGGAGAGAGGGAGGAGAAGAAGGGUCUAAAGGCGAAGAAAGAGGCGGAGAGAGGAGGGAAGGAGAGGAUGGUUUUGACGGCGGCGAGGAGGGUGGUGAGAAAUGGAGCUGGGUUUCGGAGGUGGAGGAGUGGGUUGAGGUCUAGGAGGAGGACGAUGCGCUGCGUUUUGCCGUAGUCGGCGAUUGGGUCGCCGGAGCUCCGAUCAGAUGCCAUCGCAUUUGCAGGAGGAGAAAGAGAAGGAAUUUGGCUGCAGAGAAGAAGGGAGAUGCAAAUGUGGAAUUAAGGAACAGUAAACCGAAUACGCCGUCGUUUUAGGAGAAAAACAACGAUAUGGUAGAUGCUUGAGCGGGAAACCAAAUUUUGGCGGUAAAGCAAAUGUUUUAAUCUGAUCAAGGACCUGUUUGGACUGCUUCUAAAUUUGUUAAAAGCGCUUUUAGAGAACGAAAGAGCUUUUGACAUCAGUUGAAAAAAUAAAAAUAUUUAAAGUACUUCUUCAUGUUAAAAAAACACAUGGUUUAUAACGGAAAUUUCAACAUGAUUUGAAUGAAAGUGCAUUCCAAAAGUAUUAUGAAUAGAUAUGCUUUUCAAUAUGCUUAUAAUAAAAGUGCUUUUUGCAAAUGAUGUCGGACUCGUUUAUAAUUGCUUUUAAAAUGGUUGAAAGUUUAUUUUGUAAAAAUGUUUUUAGAACAAAUAUUUAAUAAAAAUACAAGUGAAUUAAAAAAAAACACUUCAAGAAUAAAACAACCAAAGGGGCAAAAACAGGACAACCAAAUUAGACCUCACAGCAACUGAAUCACAAUUCGAGAACAUACCCAUCACCAAAUCACAAAUAGCUGGUCCCAAGUGUAGUCGUGCACGAGCACAUUUAGAACCAAUAUUUUCUUUAAAAAUGGUCUCAAUCAUUUUAAAAACAUUUUCAAACGAACCCGUCAUUUUUAGGAGAAACACAAUGGCGCAAAUGAUCCUUAGGUGAGAAGAAAAACUAGACAUAAUGUUAAAUAGCACAUUAUGUACCAAUUUUUCUUCAACGGGGCUGGGACUACUAAGAAGUUUGGAAACUAAACAGCAAAGAUUGACUCUAAGAAAUCAAACCUGAUGAUUGCUUAUAAAGUCGAACUAUUUGAAUAGAUUUGACUACCGAAGACAAAAUCAUACAUAUGCGGAUCAUUAAAAGGUGAAAGAGGCCCAUAAAGACCAAAGCCAUAGCCCACAUAGCUGAUUUGGGCCAAUUGGCCCAUCUCAAUUCUAUUUUCUUUUUCUUUUUCUUUUUUUAGUUGAUUGGCGUGCUCUAUCCUCUCCCCAAACUCCAAACAUGGGGAAGAAAGCUGCAAACUUCCUCUCUCUUCAAACAAGAAAGCUGCAAACUUUCUCUCUCUAAAAUCCAACCCCUCAAAAGUUGCAAAAUUACAAGAGAGUCCCAACAUGUCCGCCAUUUCUCUCACCAAGUUCAUCGUCUUCUCUUCCAUCGCUUCCUCAACUUUCCCAAAAUAUCCAACUCCUUACCCUUCACUUUCACCCAAAUGCCCAACGUAUCCCCUCACCCACUCUUCCAGAAAGAUUUCGGUCUCGGUAUUUUCGAAGCCUUCCGAGGCGGAGGAAGACGAGGAGCUCCCGUCGGCGCCGGAGGACGAGUGGCUGAAGAAGCUGCCGGACAAGAAGAAGCCGCUGUACGCCCACAGCCUCCCCUGCAUCGAGGCCUGGCUGAGGAACUUGGGGUUUUACCAGAGCAAAGAGGACCGGGCGGUUUGGCUGGUGGAGAAGCCCGAGUGGCACGCCCAGCUCUCGCUCGACAUCACCGACUUGUAUGUGAGGUUGGUUUUCUGUUUUCUCUUCUGGGUUUCUGCCAUUUCUGCUGUACACACACACAUAUAUGUAUAUGCGUGCUGAAUUUUUGGCUGAUGGAUUGAUUUGGUGGUUUAGUGUUAAUUUUAUUGAGAAAAGAUCAUGAAUUUAAUCAGCCUGUGUGUUAAGUUUUAGAAUUUACAGUUUGUUUUGUUGCGAUACAAGUCGGGUUGCUGUGAGAUUGAAUUUGAUACCGAAUUUUAUAGAAAAAUGUAGUGAAAUUAGAGUGGACAAUUUGUGGAUGGUAGGAUGAUUGCACCUAAACUCGGAUAAAAGUGGAGUUUUAUUAGGCCUCUAUUAGUCUUCCAUGCCUUUGGUCCAUUUAUAGCUUCCAGUUUCUGUGAGUGAGUGGUUUACUGUGUUAACUUGAUCCGGUUGGCCGGUUGAAUUGGAGGUCAUGAUGGUGGAUUCAACUGCGAUUCCUGGAAAUAGUGUGGAUUCACAGAAAAAUGGAAAGGAAUCAAUGUGUUGUGGAAUGGGAACGAUAUAAGAGUUUGUUUAAAGGCUUCUUUAGGAUUGGCUCGAUUGGAUAUGUGGCUAAGUCCCAUUAUCACAUUCUAAGUUUCACGAAUGAGAUUGUGCGCUUGAUGACAUGAGCUAGUUAUAGACGAUAGGAAAUGGCGGUGAUGGUUGAAAGCGGGAAGCUUGAGGUUGUGGGGAAAGAUGGAGAAACAGACUGAUUACUUGAAAGUGUUCGUAUUACCCUGCAUCACCUCUAGUUUUUCCUUUUCACAUGACUGUGUCUCCCCUUUUUUCUUGGCGAUGUUCUAGAUCGUUGCUUGAAAUUGUUUCUUUUUUCUGAACCUUUUUGUUAUAUCAAAUAUUACUGCUGCUAAAUAUUUAACUGGUGAUGUAGGUAUCUAAAGACUGGACCAGGAAACCUUGAAAAGGAUAUGGAGAGGCGAUUUAGUUAUGCGCUGAGCAGAGAGGACAUCGAGAAUGCAGUGCUUGGAGGACCCUGAGGACAACAAAACAAUUGUUCCUGCAGGCAUCUAGUUUGCUCUUCUGAAUUUAUCGACCUCCCAGAAGGCACCUAUUACUUCUGGUUGACGGACUUGUGUGAAUAGGUUACUAUCGAUUCUUACACUAGGACUUUUGAGACGAAUAAUAGGCUGUGCUAUUAUUUAUAACUUAAAUUAGUCCUCAUGAGAGCUUUCGUGAUCAAAAUCGUUAUUUUUAGGUUACAGCUAGAACUUUAGGGAGGUGCUGAUUGGUGCAAAUGCUUUAGACAAUUUCAGAUCGAAUGUAUUCUUCUUUUCAUGAUAAAAUCGAAUGUAUUCUUCUUUUCAUGAUAAAAUCGAAUGUAUACUUCUGUACGAUGAAUCUUCGAUUUUAUUUUCCUUUGAACGCAAAUGUAGACGAUGUUAUUAGUACGUAACUAGCCUGAUCGGCAUUUCUGUAAUCAGUUUUCGAUCGUGUGAUGCAGAACCGGAAAAUUCUUUUUUUUUUCAAAGUUAUACAGAAUGAAAGAAACACAAUGUGCGAUUUUCGUCAAUUUAGAAGAAGAGCCGAUUGCACAGCAGCAAAAUGAUGUAACAAUUUUCGAAUUGGAUCUAUAUACUCUUAUUGAUUUUAAAAUGUACAGUAAUUCUCUUGCGUUUGACAACAACUUGUCGCGCAAGAAAUGUCUAUUUCCAGUUUCUGCAUCAUGAUACAUAUACAGUUCAUCAAUCAAGAUCUGCGUUUUAGAUUACGUUCAUCGCGGUGUUUUAGAUUACAUUCAUCGCCGUGCUGGGAACGGAUACCUACAACCUUAUGCAACCUGAUGUGCUACUAUUGAUCUGGACUAAGUAGUCGAUUAUUCUUCAUUGCCUUCGAGAAAAUAAGGUAGAGAUAUUAUACACACGCUUCUUCGGCUAGCAACGUUCUAUAGUUUACACCAAUCCUCCUUUUCACUAUGCUUCAUCUCUUCGCUACCCAGCCGUGGCAAAAUGGCGAGAUGAAACAAUGAAACACCGCUACUUUCAAUGCGAUUCUGCAGACUGGAGAUGAGACCAGUAUUCCUUGACAAGCUGCCCAAAUAGCGAGCCUUCUCUUCUCAUCAAGUUCAUUGGCUCGUCAUACUCCACAAUUUGUCCUGAAAUGGAUAAACGUGUUUCAUCAAUGUUACUCUCUUUUUCGAACAAUUAUGAACGAAUAAGAACUGGUAUAUAUUAUGUACUUGGAUGAGAUCACGAGAAGCAUUUUGAAGGAGAGAGUGAGAGUGAAACUCACCGUCACUGAUGGCAAGAACCAUUGAACAAUCCAUCACAGUCGGUAUCCUGUGAGCUACCGUGAUCACAGUGCAGUCUGCAAAUUCAGUUCGGAUAGUUUUCUGAAGAAUUGUAUCAGUGGCAUUGUCAAUUGAUGCGGUUGCUUCAUCAAGCACUAGUACCCGACUUCUUCUCAAAAGGGCACGCCCCAAACAGAACAAUUGCCUUUGUCCCAUGCUCCAGUUUGAUCCAUCUUCCACAACUGAGUAACAGGGCAUCAGUUAAUACAGCUGAUCACAAUUUCACAAAACAAAACGCUCGCCACCAUCCUGAUACACCGAAAAUCUUACCUAAGGAGUCUAAGCCGCUUUCCUUCUCCUGAACAGGCUCUCGAAGCUGACACUUCCCAAGAACCUUCAGUACGUACAAAUAAGUCAGUUGCUUAGUUUAAAAUUUCAACCAUGCUGAAUUAAACAGUCAAAAAGGAAUAAUACAGCAAACAAGCUUAUAUAACUCGACAGUAUACCUCCCAUAUUUCGUCAUCUGAAUGUUGAGACAAGGGAUCCAAAUUGUAUCUCACAGUUCCGUUGAAGAGGGUAGGAUCUUGAGGUAUUAUUCCAAAACGCGACCUUAGAUCAUGCAAUCCGAUUGUAGAGAUGUCAAUGCCAUCGACUAUAAUCUUCCCUCCCGCUGGCUCUACUAAACGAAAUAGAGCACCUAUGAGAGUAGACUUUCCACUGCCUGUACGACCAACAAUACCAAUCUUGUGUCCUCCUUCAAAAAUGCAACUGAUCCCACGAAGAACGAGUGGUGUAUCGGGCCUAUAUCUGAUCUGUUAUGACAUGAAAAUUCUCAGUAAGCUUCUUCAAGGUAAACCUUGACUAGUUCUAGCACCAAAGCAACCAAUAUUUACCUGCAAAUUUUGUAUCUCGACUUUACCUACAGCGGGCCAAUUGGUUGGAGGACGGUUUCCUUCUACUACUUCAGGGGCUUCACUCGGUAUAUUCAUGUACUGAUCUAGUCUUUCAACAGAAAUAAUGUAAUUUGCGAUACUGCACUGGAUCUGAAUUGAAAACAUCAAGGAAACGUUCAAUGAAAGACCAUACGAAAGUGCCAUCCCAAUGAAUCCUGCAGUGACACAGUAAUUGCUGU